CUUCCUGGACAUCCUUGCAAGAGCCUUGCAAGAGCCUCCUAACUGGGCUCCCUAACCGGAUUCUCCCCUUAGAUCUCUUCUAAAAGGUAAACACCAUUAUGUCCUUUCCCUGCACAAAACCCUGCCAAGGGUCCCUAUCCCUGCAGGCUACAGCCCAAGCGCCUCGAGGCCUUUUAGGAUUCAGACCUACUUUUCUUCCCCUCCCCAAGCUUCUGCUGCUACCACGUGUUUCUCCCCAGCCCACGGGAGACUCUUCUGGCUCCUCUUGUCUUUAGCCUGGUGGUCACUCCCUCUGUAGAGUCUCUCCUGGGCCUCUAAGUCCGGGUGCAGGGACUUUCCUUGCUUCCCGCUAGACCUGUCUGAGCAUCCAGGCUCUGUGUUCUCAUGGUCUGUCUCCCCCAGCAGUUGUGAGUUCCUUGAUGGCAGGACUGUCACAUUCAUCAGGGUGUUCCCAGGCCUUAGGCCCUAACCCCUGGGCUUUCACCCGAGGUCACCCGCUUUUUUUUUUUUUUUUUUUUGAGACAGAGUUUCUCUCUUGUCCCCCAGGCUGGAGUGCAGUGGCACCAUCUCAGCUCACUGCAACCUUUGCCUCCCAGGUUCAAGCGAGUCUCCUGCCUCAGCCUCUUGAGUAGCUGGGAUUACAGGCAUGCCACCACGCCAGGCUAAUUUUUGUAUUUUUAGAAGAGAUGGGGUUUCAUCAUAUUGGUCAGGCUGGUCUCAAACUCCUGACCUCAGGUGAUCUGCCCACCUCAGCCUCCCAAAGUGCUGGGAUUACAGGCGUGAGCCACUGCACCCGCCUUUUUUUUUUAAGACGGAGUCUUGCUCUGUCGCCAGGCUGAAGUGCAGUGGCGUGAUCUUGGCUCACUUCUCGGAUCUUCGCCUGCUGGGUUCAAGCGAUUCUCCUGCCUCAGCCUCCCGAGUUGCUGGGAUUACAGGCGCCCACCACCAAGCCCGGCUAAUUUUUGUAUUUUCAGUAGAGACGGGGUUUCACCAUGUUGUCCAGGAUGGUCUCAAUCUCUUGACCUCGUGAUUCGCCCACCUUGGCCUCUCAAAGUGCUGGGAUUACAGGCCUGAGCCACCGCGUCCGGCCCCCUCACCCUCUUUACUGCAAACGGAUUGGGAAUUCUUUCUCAAAACUUAGUAGGGUUUCCUCUCUUCCCCUGCCGUAAAUACCAUAGGAACAUAGAAAUAAGAACCCAAAUGCCAAAGACAACUUAAUUGAACAUGAGUCUUUUCAGCCAUUCUGUUGCCCAGUGUGACUGUGUAUGUGUGUGUGUGUGUGUGUGUGUGUGUGUGUGUGACACAGAGAGAGAGAGAAUGCAUAUGUGUGGUAGGGUGUACACAGUGGACCUUUUUUUCUUUUUAGAGACAGGAUUUCGCUCUGUUGCCCAGGCUAGAGUGCAGUGACACAAUCAUAGCUCACUGCAACCUUGAACUCUUGGCCUCAAGUGAUCUCACCUAAGCCUCCCAAGUAGCUGGGAUUACAGGCUUCAGUCACCAUGCCUGGCUCUGGUAGACAUUUUUGAUUAUCUUUAAAGAUGAAGAAGGAUUUCGGCAUCCAUGUCCUCCCGGGAGGCAUAGUCCAAAGGAGGCCUUUUCUCCAGCCAGUGCGGAUGGAGGACCAGCAUCAGGAAGAGAGAGGGUUUAAUCCAAAGGCUGCCUAGGAAGAGGCCUAAGGGUUUGGCGCUUCUCCCCGCCUGAAGACUCUCCGCACAGGGGUUGUUUGUUAGAACUACCCCACGGUGUGUUCCUGAUGUGCAUUGAUCCAGAGCAAGAGCUGGUCACUGGAGAGAUGACCGUGGCAGAUUAGCUUGAGUUCUACCCUCUGGUCUUUAAUGCUUUUUUUUUUUUUUUUUUUUUUUUUUGAGACAGAGUUUCGCUCUUUCACGCAGACUGGAGUAAAGUGGCAUGAUCUCGGCUCACUGCAACCUCCAUCCCCCAGGUUUAAGUGAUUCUCCUGUUUCAGCCUCCUGAGUAGCUGGGAUUAUAGGCACCUGCCACCACGCCUGGCUAUUUUUUGCACUUUUAGUAGAGAUGGGGUUUCACCAUAUUGGUCAGGCUGGUAUCGAACUCCUGACCUCAGGUGAUCCACCUACCUUGGCCUCCCAAAGUGCUUGAAGGGACAGGGGAGGAUAUUCUAGGUAGUAGCUGAUGGUAGGGAAGCAGGAAAGUUAUGUUCCAGCUCUAGAACAGACCUGGUACUGAGAGAGUUGAGUGGAUGAAGAGUGAGUGAGUGACUGAGUAAAUGUAGUGCUUAAGGUAAAUGCAGACUAAACCAACUGACUCGUUUAGGUCAUGGUGUGUGUGUGUGUGUGUGUGUGUGUGUGUGUGUGUGUGUGUGUGUGUGUACAUGUGUGUAUGUAAGUACAUGUAUGUGUAUGUGUGUACCAGUGUGUAAAUAUGUACAUAUAUGUGUAUUUCAGGGAUGGGAAAAUGACAAGGAGCCAGAAAUACAAGUUGUCUCACAGAUGCUCUUGAGUGCGUGAAUUCCAGGCUGAGUUUGCAUUUUGUUUUCAGCUGGGAGCCAUGGAAGGCUGGGAAACUGGGGAAUGGCAGGAUAAAAAUGAUGCUUGAGAUGGAUGCACCUGACCAAGAGCAUGGGCUGGACCCGAGGUAGGGAGAGCCCGCGGUGGGCUCCAGUGACAUUUAGCAUUACAGAAAGAGGGCUGCUCAGGUUCUGAGACUAGGGAAGUUUCAGAAAGGAAGCCUCGGGGAGGCAUGGGGUCUUUUCUUGCUUUCUCUAGGUAGCCACACAGGAACAGAGAGUCUUGGAGCAGAGGUUCCUGGCAGGCUGUGCAGGCAGCGCAGGGCUGCUUGGGUGAACAACUUCACCCACAUGACAGAGGCGGAGUGCUUUUGAGUCAGACACACCUGACUCAAGGGAGUGCCUCCCCGCUUUAUGGCUGGCAGCACCAGAAACAUUUUUAGGCAAAGUUUAAAGCAGCUCUGACCCCAACCAAGAGGCCUGGGCUAGAAUUAUUUCCUUAGUGUUAGUUCAGCCUUGUCCUUGGGGCCUGGAACCUGGACAUUCCAGGGCACAGGACCUGAGUGCACUCACCCUUUUAGGGCAAGGCUGGCAGAGAGAGCACCCGUCAGAAGAAGGUUCAGCAAGGCUGCUUGCUCUAGGCUGAGGGUGGAAUCAAAGAUGACUUUGUGAAGGGGGUGGCCUUUUCCCUGGCCUUGAAGGCUGGCUAGGAUGUGAACAGAGGUAAAUAGAAAGGAAGGAGGCCCCUAGGUGGAGGUGGAGGGACCUAUGUGAGCACAGUUACCGAAGAAGGAGAAAGGUGCAGGGGUCGAGGGCAGGUGCAGGGCAAGGUGCAGGGGUUGAGGGUGGCCCAGAUGUCUUGCCUCCAUGCAGCCCCACCUCCAAGAGGCAGCUUGAACCCCAAGCUGGGGGUGGCAGGGGAAGGGCAUUCUAGUAAAGCCAGUGACUGAUCUGGGUGGGAUGCCUUGCAAAGCAGUGGAGAGCCACCAGAGGAAGUGACCCGGGAUGCCUCUGACACCCCUGCCUAACCUGGCAUUCUCCCUUCAAAAAUUAUUCCUUUACUUGGCCAACACCCUCAGCACUCUGUCCCUUGCAGGUGGCCAUCACAGGACAGGUGUACCCUGGAGGAGGGUGGGUGAGGUGAGGGAGGGGAGCUCUCCCAAAGUUGAUGUGCUGUGUUGGCAAGUUAUCAGUUUGAUGGGUGCAGAGAGAUUACCCCGGGGAGGGCGGAACACAGGACAGGCAAGUUUCAAAGGGAAGGAGGCUGUUGCAGCAACAAGUCCCACUGGGGUGGGGCAGGGAGGGGUGAAGAAGAGGCUGUUUCUGCCAAAAAUGGAAAGUAGUUAUGGGUGAGGUAGAGGCUGGGCAAGACUCCUGGGAGGGCCAGGAACCUUAGGAAUGGACCAAGUUUCUUCUCUUUUUUUUUUUUUUUUUUUUUUCUGAGAUGGAGUCUCACUCUGUUGCCCAGGCUGGAAUACAGUGGGGCGAUCUCGGCUCACUGCAACCUCCGCCUUUCAGGUUCAAGUGAUUCUCCUGCCUCAGUGAUCAAGUGAUUCUCCCUACGCGGGAGCUCCCUCUCCCAGCUCCCAAGUAGAUGGGAAUACAGGUGCGCCACCACACCCAGCUAAUUUUUGUAUUUUUGUAGAGACAGGGUUUCAUCAUAUUGGCCAGGAUGGUCUCGAUCUCUUGACCUCAUGAUCUGCCCGCCUCAGCCUCUCAAAGUGCUGGGAUUACAGGCGUGAGCCCCCACGCCCAGCUGAGUUUCUUCUCUUCAUGCCCUGUUGCUUGGCCUGGGCCAUAGGAAUAAAAAGAAUGAAGAAAGCAGUCAUGAUGUCUCUCCCACUUGCUAGGUUCUUACCAAGUAGUUCCUAUAAUUUUGUUUACUUCUCAUGACAACUCAGUGCUAUUAUCCCCAGUUCUCUAGAUCAGCUCAGAGUGGUCAAGAAACUUGUCCAGGCUGAUAGCGUAAGUAGCAGAGUCUGGACUGCAGCCCACGUGUUUCUGACUCAAAGCUUGUGACUUUUCCACCUCUCCACAUUGCCUGGAGGAGAGAAGAGAGAAUAGUUAGAAAGGAGGGGAGGGACAGGGUGUACAGCUCAAGGGUGGGGUUUUCUCUGCAGGGCCAGAAGGUUCUUGAAUGCCCCAGAGCAAAGCUGUUAGCUGAGAGACCACUGACCCUGACACCCUAGAGAGGCUCACUCUAUAUGUAAAAGAUGUGAAUUUCUCCUUCUGCUCCCAGCCAGGAGAAAACUCAGUUGUUGAGUGGGGAUGGAGAAUGUUACCUGAUAUGAUGACUGCAGCGUCCUUAGCCACACUCAGACAUUGCCCUGUUUGUCAUGUUUGUAUGGUGGUGGGGAGGGAUCAGGAGUGGCCAAAACUUAAAACUGGACCCUGGAGGUGGAGACCGAGAAGGAAGUGGGAGUAAAGACCAGCUUCUGGGGGUGGGAUGGGGUCCAACCUGUCUUCGGGGAUUACAGGGGCCUCCUGUGACUCCAGCAGGAGCAGGGGCUCCGGCACAAGGUCAUCAGAGUGCUGAGUGGGUGACAUGCAUGGUGGGAGAGGGAGCCACCACUGCAUCAUGGAGAUUCGGGCGUGUAGACAGGAGGAUGGCAGCUAGUGCUUGGAAAUGUCAUAUGGAUUCUGGGAAUGGGAUUGGCAUGAACAAGGCAGGUGAACGGGGAGCUGGGUACUGCACUGGUCCCAGCAUCUGGGCCUGGGCAGAGAUCUUAUUGCAGAAGCAAGGGAAGAAGGUGGGGCUGGAUCUCAGAAUGAAAGAAGGAACAAAUAGCAGACCCAAGAGGCUUAUGCAGUGGCCCAUAUUGGAGGAGUCAGGAUGGGUCCCAGCAACCUAGAGAGGGCUGGGCCUGUGCCAUGGCUCCAUCUGGGGCAGAAGGACCAGCAGAGCCCAAGAACUGGGAGACCCUGUCUGAAAGGACAUCAUGCUUUAGCAAGCUGGGUGUUUUAGGGACACACAUUGCAUCCUAAGUUUUUUUUUUAGGAAGCCUCGGUUCAGAAGAGGACCUAGGGAGCCCCAGGACUUGUGAAUAUUGAUGUCAGAAGUGAAAUUUCUCCUAGCAGAAGGGAGAAUCUCUAUAACUUUUUUUUUUUUUUUGAGGUGCAAUCUUGCUCUGUUGCCCAGGCUGGAGUGCAGUGGCACGAUCUCGGCUCACUGCAAUCUCCACCUCCCAGGUUCAAGCAAUUCUCCUGUCUCAGCCUCCCAAGUAGUUGGGAUUACAGGUGCCCCCCACCAUGCCUGGCUAAUUUUUGUAUUUUUAGUAGAGACAGGGUUUCACCAUCUUGGUCAGGCUGGUCUUGAACUCCUGACUUUAGGUGAUCCGCCUGCCUUGACCUCCCAAAGUACUGGGAUUACAGGUGUGAGCCACUGCGCCCGGCCAAUUUUUUUUUUUUUUUUUUUUUUUUUUUUUUUUUUUUUUUUUUUUUUUUUAGACAGGGUCUUGCUCUGUCGCCCAGGCUGGAGUGCAGUGGCGCCAUCUCGACUCCUUGCAGCCUCCACCUCCCAGGUUCAAGCAAUUCUCCCACCUCAGCCUCCAGGGUAGCUGGGAUUACAGGGGCCCACCACCAUGCCCGGCUAAUUUUUGCUUUGUUUUGUUUUGUUUUGGGAUGAAGUUUCACUCUCGUUGACCAGGCUGGAGUGCAAUGGUGUGAUCUCAGCUCACUGCAACCUCCAUCUCCUGGAUUCAAGUGAUUCUCCUGCCUCAGCCUUCCAAGUAGCUGGGAUUACAGGCGCCCGCCACCAUGCCCAGCUAAUUUUCACAUUUUUAGUAGAGACGGGUUUCAUCAUGUUGGCCAGGCUGGUCUCAAACUCCUGACCUCAGGUGAUCCACCUACCUCAGCCUCCCAAAGUGCUGGGAUUAUAGGCAUGAGCCACCAUGCCCAGCCAAUUUUUGCAUUUUUAGUAGAGACGGGACUUCACCAUGUUGGCCAAGCUGGUCUUGAACUCCUGACCUCAGGGGAUCUACCCGCCUCGGCCUCCCAAAGUGCUGGGAUUACAGGUGUGAGCCACUGCGCCUGGCCUAUAGCUUUUAUUUAUCCUAAUAGAGACACAAGCUUGCUAGUUUCUCUAUUUUUUUAAAGAAAAAACUUUUUUGUUUUUGUUUUUUUAGACAGAGUCUCGGUCUGUCGCCCAGGCUGGAGUGCAGUGGUGCAAUCUCGGUUCACUGCAACCUCUGCCUCCCAGGUUCAAGGGAUUCUCCUGCCUCAGCCUCCUGAGUAGUUGGGAUUACAGGCGUGUGCCACCACGCCCAGCUAAUUUUUGUAUUUUUAGUAGAGAUGGGGUUUCACCGUGUUGGUCAGGCUGGUCUCAAAUUCCUGACCUCAUGAUCUGCCUGCCUCAGCCUCCCAAAGUGCUGGGAUUACAGGCAUGAGCCACCACGCCUGGCCUUUUGUUUUGUUUUGUUUUGUUUUUGUUUUUUAAGAUAGGGUCUUGCUCUGUCACUCAGGCUGAGUGUGGUGGCACAAUCAUAGCUCACUGCAGUCUCAAACUCCUGAGCUCGAGUGAUCCUACUACCUCUGCGUCUGGAGUAGCUGGGACUACAGGCAGGUGCCUGUAUGUACCACACCUAGCUAAUUUAAAAAAAAAAAAUUGAGGGCCGGGCGCUGUGGCUCAUGCCUGUAAUCUCAGGACUUUGGGAGGCUGAGGCAGGCAGAUCACUUGAGGUCAGGAGUUCGAGACCAGCCUGGCCAACAUGGUGAAACCUGUCUCUACUAAAAAUACAAAAAUUAGCUGGGUGUGGUGGCACAUGCUUGUAAUCCCAGCUACUAGGGAGGCUGAGGCAUGAGAAUCGCUUGAACCCGGGAGGCGGAGGUUGCAGCGAGUGGAGAUCACGUCACUGUACUCCAGCCUCGGUGACAGAGUGAAACUCUGUCUCAAAAAAAAAAAAAAUGUUUUUUGUAGAGACAGAGUCUUGCUAUGUUGCCCAGGCUAAGACAUAAACUUAAUGCAUUCCUUUUCUGCACCCAUCUUGAGUCACUCCUUGCCGAAGAGGUGUCUGAGGAUCAGUGCUCACUGAGGGUAUGCCAUCCACAUGCAUCAGUGGUUUAGAGCAAGAAGUGACCCAGCCUUUCCUUCAUUUUACUAGGAGGAAACUGAGGCCCAGAGGGGUUGAGAGACUCCCCUUAGGUCCAGGGGCUCAGGAGAGAGUGGGGACAGAAUCCCAGCUGCAGACCCCCCAGCCAGUGCUCCCUUCCUCUGUGCCCCCCCACCCAUCUGGACUUUCCAUGGUAACUAAGCCUCCUCCAGUGUGGGAAGCAGUUACCUAGCAACUUCCCAUAACCAGGUUAGAGCCGAGGGAGUGAGAUACCACAUGCUGCCUGCCCUGGGGAAUUUAGAUGUGUAGAAAUGGGAUCGCCCACGUCAUAGUGUGGCCACAAAUGACCCUGCAUAGAGCCAUGCCUGGAAGCCCCUGUCGGGGAGAGUCUCACAUCAGGAUCAGUGAGUCUCAGGGAUGACGGCACAGUCCUGGGCUGGCUGAGGCGUCCACCCCUGCAGUGGAUGCAGGGCCCCACUGUGUACAGUGCUGGUUUCUCUGAACAGCAUGGAACCUGUCCCCAUUGACCUGCUGGCUCAGUGUGGAUGGGGGAUCCACAGAGGAAGGCUGAUGGAAAGGCUGUGUCUGUGUCCUUGCAGGCGUCUCACUGUGGCGGGGGGAAUGGCAGGGAAGCUGUGCUCCUUCAUGCUGCCUCUUGUUCCCUAAUUAUGUCAAGAAAUGUUUAUGAAAUGACAUGAUUGUAAAGUAAGUGACUCUUCCUGUAAUGUUCCCUGUAUAUUGGGUUUUGACAACCAUCCGCCACCCCCACACGCUCACCUGCUUCUUCCUGUGGGCAGAGCCCUGCCUAGGUUCCCAGGUUCUGCCUCCUGAAGGGUCCUACCAAUUGGCCUAAGCCAGUUAUGGUGGCCUCAUUCUCUUGGAAAUGGCUGGUGUAAGAACAGCAUGGGAUCCAGUCUUGCCAGUGGGAUCUGUGUGAAUGGCCGCUGAAGGACCUCCAGGAAGGAAAGGGUUUCUCAUUGAGUAGAAUUGGGAGAGAAUGUGCCCCUUCUCCAUUAGACAUUGUCACGUCUGCAUGUGAUGUCUGGAGCUGUAAGCCACUGAGAAGAGACACCACUGAUGCUCAGAGACAUCACUGAUGCAUUGUUGGGCCAUUGUGUUAAGCCAGCCAAUGGCUGUCUUGUCUCUGGACUUCUUGUGAUGGGAAAUCAUGAGCCUCUUGUUGCUCUAGAGCCUUUUGGUCAGGCCUCUGUUUUUUUCGCCUCCAGCUCACUCACUUUGCACUUGUCUGAGUGGGCCACUUAAUAGAGAUGCCUUGACAAGUCUUGGUAUUAAAGGUAAAGCACCCAAAGAAAACAAAUGUCCCAUAUCUUCGAUUUACUGACUAAAUCAAAGAUGGGACUCCCUGAUCCUUUAUCUCCUCAGUUGGAAUUGAAAUCCGACUAGCAGCUGCAUGCCCAGCUCUCGCAGGUCUGAAUAGACUUCUCCCUAAAGAGCCUGAUGGCGUCCCUGGUAUUCCCAGCAUCUGGCACAUUUCUUUCAUUCAUUCAUUCAUUCAUUCAUUCAUUCACUCAUUCACUCACUCACUCAUGCGGUGGUGUGCUGGGGCUGGCUCCUAUCUGCCCAUGAAAAACAAUUGUGUACAUCUCUUCCCAACUCUGGAUUCAGUGAUGUCAUGUUGGUAGCCUGAAAUCUGCCAUGGUGGGAGUUGUUCUUUUUUAAGUAGACUUUUUUUUUUCAGCAGUUUUAGGAUCACAGCAAAAUGGAACAGAAGACACAGGGAGUUCCCAAAUACCCCCUGUCCCCACACACGCAUAGCCUCCCUCACUGUCAACAUCCUCCAGCAGAGUGAUAUAUUUGUUACAAUUGUUGAGCCUACAUUGACACACCAUAAUCACCCGAAAUGCGUAGUUUACAUUAGGGUUCACUCUUCCUGUUGUGCAUCCUAUGGGUUUUGAAAAAUGUGUCAUGCCAUGUGUCUAUUGUUGUGGCAUCACACAGAGGAGUUUCACUGCCCUAAAAAUCCUCCGGGCUCUGCGUAUUCAUGCCUCCCACCCUCAACCCUUCCAACCACUGAUCUUUUUACCGCCUCUCUAGUUUUUCCUUUUCCAGCAUGCCAUGUAGUUGAAACGGUACAGUGUGUAGCCUUUUCAUAUUGGCUUAUUUCACAUAGUAAUAUGCAUUUAAGGGUUGGGUGCAGCAUCGCAUGCCUGUAAUACCAUCACUUUGGGAGGCUGAGGUGGGCAGAUCACCUUAGGUCAGGAGUUCAAAACCAGUCUGGCCAACAUGGUGAAACCCCGUCUCUACUAAAAAAAAAAAAAAAAUUCAGCCAAGCGUGGUGACGGGCGCCUGUAAUCCCAGCUACUUGGGAGGCAGAGGCAGGAGAUUUGCUUGAACCAGGGAGGUGGAGGUUGCAGUGAGCUGAGAUUACACCACUGCACUCCAGCCUGGGUGACAGAGUGAAACUCCAUCUUAAUAAUAAUAAUAAUAAUAAUAAUAAUAAUAAUAAUAUGCAUUUAAGGGUUUUCAUCUUUCAUAGCUUGGUAGCUUAUUUCUUUCUAAAUACUAUUCUAUUGUCUGGAGGUACCACAGUUUAUUUAUUCAUUCACCUAUUGUAGGACAUUUUGGUUUCUUCUAAGUUUUGGCAAUUAUGAAUAAAGCCACUAUAAAUAUCCAUGUCCAGGUCUUUGUGUGGAUGUUUUCAGCACCUUUCAGUAAAUACCAAGGAGUGUGAAUGCUGGAUCCUAUGACCAGCGUAAGUUUAGUUUUGCAAGAAACCGUCGAACUCUCUUCCAAAGUAGCUGUACCAUUUUGCCUUCCCACCAUCAAUGAAUGAGAGUUCCUGUUGUUUCACAUCAUCACCAGCAUAUGGUGUUGUCAGUAUUAUAGAUAUGGGGCAUUCUUAUAGGUGUGUGGUGAUAUUUCAUUGUUUUAAUUUGUAUUUUCCUAAUGACAUAUGAUAUUGAGCAUCUUUUUAUCUCCUCACUUGCCAUCUAUAUCUUCUUCCAUGAGCUGUCCAUGUCUUUUGCCCAUUUUUAAAUUGGGUUGUUCAUCUUCUAAUUGUGGAGUUUUUUUGUUGUUGUUGUUGGUUUUUUUUGUUUCUUACUUUCUUUCUUUCUUUCUUUCUUUUUUUGAGAUGGAGUCUUGCUCUGUUGCCCAGGCUAGAGCGAAGUGGCAGGAACUUGGCUCACUGCAACCUCCACCUCCCGGGUUCAAACAAUUUUCCUGCAUCAGCCUCCCAAGUAGCUGGGAUUACAGGUGCCCGCCACCAAACCCGGCUAAUUUUUGUAUUUUUAGUAGAGACGGGAUUUCACCAUCUUGGCCAGGCUGGUCUCAAACUCCUGACCUCAUGAUCCACCUGCCUCGGCCUCCCAAAGUGCUGGGAUUACAGGCGUGAGCCACUGUGCCCUGCCUAUUGUUGAGUUUUAAGAGUUCUUUGUGUAUCAUAGUCCUUUAUCAGAUAUGUCUUCUGUACAUAUUUUCUCCUGGUCUGUGACUUGUCUUCUCAUUCUCUUGGCAUAUGGUGGGAGUGUUUACACCAUAGAAUUGGCAAAUACCACAAGUUAGGGCUUCUUCUUAGAGAGAGCCAAUUAUUAAAUCUUUACCAGCACGUCACUGCAUCUAGGCAUCAACCAUUUAUUGACUGCACUGCAUAUCUUUGACCUAAAAAAGAUUUGGUCUAGCAGAGGAGGCAGAUCAGUGAAUCACUGACAAUGGUGUUCUGAGUAUUGGGAUAGAGGGAGAACAAGGUUACUACAGGAACAUAAGUGGGGGUGGGGGAACGGGGGCACUUACAUCAACCAUAAUAUUGGGAUGGUUUCCCAGUGGAGACCUGGAGCCCUGAGCUAAUGAUUUCAAAGUAAGUAACAGUUGUCUGGACCCACGCUGCCCUAUAAGGCAGCUCUUUGCCACAUGUGGCAAUUUCAGUCAUUUAUACCAGGCAUAUUUCAAGUAUUCAAUAGCCACAUGUGGCUAGUGGCUAGUGGCUACCACAUUGGAUGGAGCAGAUACAGAGCUUUUCCCUCAUCACAGAAAGUCCUAAUAGACAGCCCUUGUCUAGACAAAACAGUGGGAGAAAGCAUUCCAGGCAAAAAGAACAGAAUGUAGGAGACCAGAGGUCUUAGAAAACAUGCCUCAUUCUGGGAACCACAGAUAGUUCUAAGGGACUGAAGUAAAGAGUGUUUGGGACUGGAGAGGUAGAAGAUGUGGCUGAACGAACAAGGCAGCAGGCAGAUCACAAAAGGCCUUUAGUGCGAAGCUAAGGAGGUUAAACUCCAGCCUGAAGACUAUGGAGAACCCAAAGAUUUGAGCAGGAGCUUGGUAUCAUCAGCCUGUCUGCGAAUAAGAUCUCCCUGACUGCGUUGGAGGCUGUAUUACAGGGGGCCAGCCAGAAAGGCAGGGAGACGAGUGCUGAGACUAUUGCAGUCAUCAGGGAAAGAAGUGAGAGAGGUUUGAAGUAAGGCAGUGGCUGUGGAAUGGGUGCAGAGAAGGGACAGAGUUGAGAGAAUGUGAAGGACCCGAUGGCUGAUUGUGUCUGACCCUGAAGAGGUGCUUUGUAAAUAUUUGUUGACUUAAUGAAUGAAUUACAGCAAAACUUAAAACAAUAGAAGUGAGUGCACAGCUACUAGGCUUCUAGGUAGUAUCUACUGCACAAAUGGUGUGGUGCAGAGGACACCCUUGCCUUGGUAUGGACAGGCUGAAGUGUUGACUUUAGACUGAGAAAACAGCAAAUAUUUUGACCAUGCUAAUCAGUCCCCAGUGUGGGCUGUUGUGUUUCAGGUUAGCUGUGAGCUAACGAUGGCAUGUAGGUACAUUCCCCUUCUUUUGAGCUCAAGGAGAAAGAGGCAACAGGGAAGAGUGAGAAGAGAGAGACGGAGGGAAGGGUUGGUAUCCCUUGUUCUGUCUGAUGGAGGGAGGGCUCGGCUGAGAAGAGAGCCAGCUGUGCUCAUGGAAGAUGCUGAGGGAGCCAGGGUCCAAGCAGUGCCUCUCAGAAUUGGGCACAGGCUGGCCAUUCUCCCCUCUACCUCUUCCCCAAUCUCCUUGUCAUGUGGACUGCAGGGCAGAUUUGGUGUCCUGAAGGAUUGGGUCAAUUCACCAGCAGAUAAAUGUGGUGCAUAGUGGAUCCGCAGCAUCUGGGAAGGCAUUGUCAGCAGAGGAUGCGUGGGGCAACAGAACACUGGAACCAGAGUAGGAAGCGUGAGUAUACUGGUGCCUAAACACGUGAGAGAUAACAGCCUCCCUCUCUUGGCCUCUCAGAAGUUAACUGGAGGAGAAUCCGAAGACAGUGGCUAAAGCUACUGGAACCUGGACAUCAUUGUAAAUAUGACCUUGUUUGCAUCUACAGGUCUGUUAGGCCCAAGACAGUUGAGUUACAAAAUGAGUAAAUAGAUGAGAUGAAGCAGGUCCAAUCAUUCCUUCAUUAGAAAAAUAUUUACUGAGCCUCUGUGUGCCUUGCAUAGUGCUAGAUGCUGGGUGUACAAUGGUUUACAAAACAGAGGUGACCCCUGCUCCGUGGAGCUUACAGCUCCAAGUUCACUUGAACUUGGGAGGCAGAGGCUGCAGUGAGCUGUAAUAGCCAUACAGCUCAGUCUGGCACCAUCAUCUGUGUACGUGCUAUUCAGGAAAAGCACAGGAUUCAUAAGACCAUCUUAGGGGAAGGAUUAUUUUAGAUUAGAGGGCAGGGGAGGACUGUUUGGAAGUGACAUUUAAACCCAGACCUGGGCCAGGCAUGGUGGCUCACACCUAUAUUCCCAUCACUUUGGGAAGCCAGGGUGAGUGGAUCACCUGAGGUCAGGAGUUCAAGACCACCCUGGCCAACAUGGUGAAACCCUGUCUCUACCAAAAAUGCAAAAAUUAGCCAGGUGUGGUGACAUGACCCUGUAAUCCCAGCUACUCGGGAGGCUGAGGUGGGAGAAUCACUUGAACUUGGGAGGCAGAGGCUGCAGUGAGCUGAGACUGUGCCACUGCACUCCAGCCUGGGCAACAGAGCCAGACCCCAUCUCAAAACAAAAACAAAAACAAAAACAAAAACAAAAACAAAAAACAAAAAACAGAAAACAAAAAACCAACCCAGACCUGGAGAUGAACAAGAGUUAGCAGGGUUAGCAGGGGAUGUGCCUCCAGGUAGCAAGAAUGGCAAGUGUGAAAGGUUUGGGGACAAAUCCUUGGCCAUUUGGAGGCUGAAAGGCCAGUGGGGCAGGAGCAUAAAAGCAAGGGGCAGGGGAGGCAGAAGAGGAGGCUGAGGAGGGAGGCAGGGGCCGGACUUCACAGGGCCACAUUAGGACUUUGGACUUAAGCCUAAAUCCAGUGGGAAGGGGAGUGAUGUGAUCGGAUUUAUUUUUACAAAGAUCGCUUUGGCAUCUGUGUGGAGGACCAGAUUACGGGAGAGAAUGCAGGGAGAAAGGUAUGAAAGCUGACAGUUGCCAAAGGAAGAGAUGAUGGUGGCAUGGCCAAGGUGAUGGAGUAAAGUGGAGGAACUGAGGAGGCAUUUUUUAAAAAGCAUUGAGACAAUCAAGGUUUUUCUCACACACUUGCCUUGGUAUAGAGGGGCUAAAAUGUUGGCUUAGACAAGGCAAACAGUAAAUAUUUUGGCCAUGCUAAUCUGUCCCGAGUGUGGGCUGUUGUGUUUUAGGUUAGCUGGGAGCACAGUCCCCUGCCUCAACCAGGGCCACAUCUGACCAGAGUCAAUUUUAUGACUGAAGAUUUCCUGACAAAGCUUUUACAACUUCUGCAAUCUCUGCUGAUGUUUAAAAUAAUUACUAUUAGGAAAUAGUAAUUAUUAUAGGAAAUUCCUGUUUGCAUUUCAUCUGAAUUCCUCUCACAUUACAUUUUUUUAAUUCUAGAGAUAAGGAUGCUAAAAUAAUAAGUCACCUGGGUAGCCAAAUAUGAAUGACGUCAUAAUGACCGUUCUGAAUUGCAUCUGUCCCAAAGCCAAAGUGACCUAUUCGUUAGCAGCGAAGAAAAAAUGGCCGAAUAUCCUCAGAAGAAGAGCCCAAUUAGAGUUGUGCUCACUGCUAAGUUCUUUGCCUUUGCUCCUUAACAUGUGGACCUAGCAACAGCACCCAGUAGCUUGUUAGAAAUUCAGGACCAAGUUGGAAGCUGCAUUUCAACACGGUCCCCAGGCAAUUCGUAGGCACUUUAAAUUUUGAGAAGCACCAUGGUUAGAUCACCCUAGGGCCAUCUAAAAGUGGGUGGGCAGUGGCAGGUGCCAGAUAUUUGAAAUGCGGUGAGGCACAGCAAGUGGUUAGGAAAACCCAACAACUGGUCCAACAGGACCUGGCUUUUCUCUGGAAGCUUCAAGUUCCCAAGUCACAUAGAGUGUUGCAGCCAAACUCGGGGACAAUGUGUUUGUUGGCUGCUGGUUCUGUGGCUGGUGAGAGGAGCUGGCUCAACCCUCCUCUGGUGCUGAAAUGCUGUCAGGUAGAAACUAGGGCCCGUGGGGACACAUGCGGAGGGGCUCCCCCUGGCAGCACCAGAGGCUGAGGGGGGUUGAGCUCUCUUUCCCCCUCCCCUCCAUAAUGUGGACAGUUUGGUUCUUGUCCUCUUUACCUGGCCGCUAAGAGCCCUCAUUCCUUGUAGGUGGUUUGGGUGACUUUCCCGCUUCCUUCUGAAUGGAGGCUGAUGAGCAAGGGAAAGAUGCUUUGGCAUCUCAGUACAAAAUACUCUUCAGUAGCUUUUGCUACAACAGAACACCGAGCUCCAGGGGUUCUGAAAGCUCUGCUCAUACCGCCUGCCUACGGGGUCAGCUCCUGCAGGCCGAUGACCCCUGUCACCCCCUGGUCUCGUUCUCACUCUCUACCUGAGGGGUAUGCAACGCAGACACCAGACACGGCCUGGCCAAACAAGGACACUUUGUUUUAUUACUGCUUUCCUGAGAAGCCUUUCAAGGCACAAAGUCUCCACCAGAAUCGAAUCACAUACCUCCGUCUAACUAGAGCUGGUCCUCCCACAUCAUCAGACAACUGGAUGGAGUUUGUGGGCUGUUUAAAGCAUAUGGUUUGUAAAUACUGUAAAAUCAAACAUUACUUAUGGCUUUUAUUUACUGCAGCAUUUCACAUUACCUAGCACCAAAAUAGCUGAGGAGGUCUUCUCUGCCUUUGUUCUUUCUCCUGUUCUUUUCCUUAUGCUUCUUUGCUCCCUGCCUUCCGCAGCAGCGGUUUCUCUGCUCUGAUUCUUCCUCUCCCCACUGCCCAGCCCUCCUCCUGCACCAUCUGCCCACCAACUCCACACCGUUCUCUUCCCUGGCCCCACUCACCCUCUCCCUUUCCUCCCCCUGUGCCUCUCACGCUGCCCCUUGAUCCUCCUGGAUGUCUUAGCUACCUUUCCCUCUCUCUGCUUUCACUUCCAAAAGCUGCAGGUGCUCCUUACUCACACUCGACUCCCUCCUGCCUCCACCAGGCUAUUUUCUUUUCCCUCCCAAUACCCACCACAGAGUUCCUUUUUUCCUCUUUCCUCUAAAGGAAACAUGAGGAUCAGAGAACUGUAGAAUCACAGUCACAAGGGACACUGCUUGUGCUACACUGGCAGUCACUUCUGAGUCAGAAAAUCUUUCUUCUCCGAUCACCUUCAAUAACGGCUGCCCCCAACCCCAUCCCUCCUUAGAGCAAGAGAGGUUGGGGAAGAGAAAACUUCCAGGCUCCCUCACCAACACUUUCACCCCCUUUCCUGUCUCAGCACACACACAGACACACAGAUGCAUGCACGCACAUGUCCACACAUGCAGGAAUGCACACAUAUGCAUACACAAGCACACAUGUAUACACACAGGAGUGCACAAAUAUGUGCGUGCAAGCACACAUGUGCACACCUGCAGGGGUACACACCCAUACCCACAAACUCCGAGUGCACUUGGUGCAGAACGGGUUUGCACCCGGCCUCCCCUAAGGCCCUGAGCUUCCUCUCUACUGUCUCCUUCGCCCCUGGCCAGGCUGACCUGUGCUGUGCACCUCCAGAGUGAGCCCUUGGACACAUGAUUCUAGCGUGAUGGGAUGGAGAGCGACAGCCAUGGUGGGGUUCCUUGCUCCAGGUGCAACUCUUGGGCAGCAGGAGGACAGCAGUGGUCAGACUGAACAGGAAGCUGGUGUCAAAGCCAGCUUCCACCUGGGGUCAUGUUUAGUCAAUCAAUUCAUAGUCAGGCUCCUAUCAUCAAGUGGGCUUCUUUCCAUGCCACUGGGCAAGGCAUCUUCAAAAGAGAAAAUCAAGAGGGAAAAUGAACAGAGCCCUGAAGACAUACCCUUGUAACCAUAAAACAAUGACUGUAAAAUUCAGCAUUCUCAGCUAGAGCUUCUUCAAGCACUUUACGGAAUGUAGGAUGCUAUUUCCUUCAUAGCUGGGGAAACAGAGGUUCCACUGAGUAAGCUGCUUGGGGAUUGUGGAAAAUCCCUCGAUUUCCCAGUACUUCGCUCCUCACAUUGAAACAUUCAUUUGAAAGACCCAAGGAAUAUUAAUUUGAACAGAGAUGAAUGUCUCAGCUAGGUGUUGACUAGGAGGCCAGCCUUGCACAGGCAGGGUCUCUCCAACCCCGUCCUGCCUUCACAUCCCCGCUCAGACUCGCUUGGCUGCCCGCAGCACUGGGCUGCACCUUAAUUCCUAAUGCAACAGUGCCCACCCCUUGGAGAACAGGAGGAGAGCUGCUCUGCAAGCCCUCCAGGUGAGCGGGGCUUGCAGGUCAGCUAGAACGUGCCCCACCAAGUUCAACCCCACCCUGUUGUUCUGUGUCCAGUGCCGAGGUGUGGUCUCUGCUUAGCUGUUCUCCGUGAAAAUUCCCAAGACAAGGAGGAAGCAGUGACAGCUGAAGGCCAGGACAAAACUCCAUUUCAUUUCCCUGCCCCCCUCCCAACUCCCCCACUGCCUUCCACACACCCCUGAGGGGGGCAGAAAAGCAAGUGUCAAUAUUAUUCUCCACCUGAGUUCCCUUUUGCAUCAACUAAUUACCAGCCCAAUUGCCAAUAAAUUACUAGUAUAAAAAGUUGUGUGUGUACACAGGCAGAUGUAGAUAGAUGUAUGUAUAUAUAGUCAUGGAGUCCAGCCUUUUUUCCUUGCCCUCUUUCUUGUGGGCAGCUCCAGACAAAAAGCUUCUGUCCCCUGAAGAGUUUAUCGGGUCAUGGGUGCCACGUAGUUGGCAGGGAAGAGGCCCAGCUUGUUGUGCAGGCGGCCGGUCCACCAGGAUGGGUUGGAGCUAUCCAGGACCUCCACCACCUCCCCGCUGUGGAACCCCAGCUCGUCAUCCUCCAGGGCCUCAAAGUCAUACAGCGCCCGGGCCCACCGCACUCGCUGUUGGGGGAAGCACAGAAGAGGCUCUGCUGAGCUGUGGGCUGGGCAGGCAGGGGAGGGUCUGCUGGCUCCUCCCACCACAUCCAAGUCUUUGAGAGCAACAUUCCCUGAAGGCUGACCCCUCUGCAGCUUAAAAAAACUUUUUUUGUAGAGAUGGGGUCUUGCUAUGUUGCUCAGGCUGGUUUUGAACCCUUGGCCUCAAGAAGUCCUCCUGCCUUGGCCUCCCAAGUAGCUGGAACUACAGGUGUGAGCCACCAUGCCCGGCUACCCUGCUGCAAUUUAAAUCAGAUACCUAUGCACAGGCCUGAGCAAGAAGUUCCCAGAACGCACCAGCGUCACUCUGGAGACCCAGGACUUUUACCAACAGAUGUUAUUGUCCAAAGCCCCAAUAGACUCCCUGAGAACCACUCUCUCCACAUCAAUAGGUGGUAUUUUUAUCUUGAGUGACAAACAGAAGGGCAACAUGCCCCAAACAACAGCCCUUGGUGUUAGGGCAAUCAAGUCACAAGUCAAGAUGGAUCACAGGCCAGGCACGGUGGCUCAUGCCUGUAAUCCCAGCACUGUGGGAGGCUGAGGUAGGAGGAUUGCUUGAGCCCAGGAGUUCCAGACCAGCCUGGGCAAUAUAGCAAGAGCUUAUCGCUACAAAUAAUAUACCUAGCUACUUGGGAAGCAGAGGCAGGAGGAUCGCUUGAGCCUAGGAGUUUGAAUCUGCAGUGAGCCAUGAUUGUGCCACUGCACUUGAGCCUGGGAGACAGAGUGAGACCCUGUCUCAAAAAACAAAAAAAAGAUGCAAUGAUAAAGGCAAUGGUAAAGGACUAUGAUAAAGAUGAUAAAGAACUAGAACUGAGAACUAUGAGAACAGGGAAGGCCUGGCACCAGACUGAGAUCAACAGACUGGACGGUGCUGGCUCAGCCCCAGGCCUCCCCAAACAUUCCAUCACCUCUCGUUGAUCUGUGUGUGCAUUUUUGUUUUGUUUUGUUUUGUUUUUUGAGACGGAGUUUCGCUCUUGUUGCCCAGGAUGGAGUAAAAUGGCGCAAUCUCGGCUCACUGCAACCUCUGCCUCCUGGGUUCAAGCAAUUCUCCUGCCUCAGCCUCCCAAGUAGCUGGGAUUACUGGCAUCUGCCACCAUGCCUGGCUAAUUUUUGUAUUUUUAGUAGACGUGAGGUUUCACCAUGUUGGCCAGGCUGGUCUCGAACUCCUGACCUCAGGUGAUCCACCUGCCUUGGCCUCCCAAAGUGUUGGGAUUACAGGUGUGAGCCACCGUGCCCAGCCAGAUCUGUGUGGUUUGAGUCUCUCCUGCCUCAUCUCCUCCAUUGACCUCUGUCCCAAGGCCUUUCCCCAGGGAUCCCAGAGAAGGACAGUUCCCAUACCCCUGCCGCCUGGAGCUGCACUGGGUCUGUGUGUCUCCGAUGCAUGAGGGCCGCAUUCAUUUCACUGCCCAAGCCGGUGCCACAAUGCCCAUCAUUUAUGUCAAGGCUGCCUCCUCGGCGUUCCUAGAAACAUACAACAGAAGACUGGUCACCCCACUGCCAGGACAUCUCCCACCGGUUCCCCCAGUGCCUUGCUCAGAUGCCAUCCACAGAGCCGGUAUAUUCCAGGAAUACUUACUGAUAAUGACAAUAAACCCUCCACGUUGAGGAGGACCUAAGGUCUAAAGGCACCUUAGAUUCUGAAGGCAAAGAAGGCAAAGGCAGGUUUUAUUUAUUCAGUCAAGAAAUAUUUAUCAGGCACCUACCAUGUUUCCAGUAGCAGACACAAGGGAAAUAUAGCUGGAAAGAGAAGGUCUCUGGCUUCAUGGAGCUUCCAUUUAGAGGGGGAACCAUGCACAUUUAAGUGGUAAGUGAGCAGAGAGAAGAAAUGUCUGUAUCUGCCCGGGAAAUCAAGGAAGGCUUCACAGAGGAGGUCAUGCUUGAACUCCAGCUUAGAGGGGUAGGACUGCCCAGGGAGGGGCUCAUCAGGCAGAGAGAUCAGCAUAUAAAACGCCACAAAGGCAUGAGAGGAAACGCAAUGGACCAUUCGGGUAACUAAGGCAGCGUGGGGGGUUGCUGGAAUGUGUGUUUGCACGGGGAGUUGGCAGGGAGGCAGCAGGGACGAGGCUGGGGAAAUAGAUUCUGGCAGCUCACAAAGGACUUUGUGUGCCCUGCUAAGGAAUUCAGGAAUGAUGUUAUCUGGCCGUAUUGUCCAUCUCAGUAAGCCGCCUGAAAUCCCAUCGGGAACAAGGGUGGAGGGAGAUAAAUAAGUAAUAAACAAGGCUCUGUUGUGGGUAUUAAGCCUUUUUCUCUUGUGGAUCUGACAGCCAGAUGGGCUAAGGGGCAUGAAUAGAUUUGGAAUUGUGCUGAUAGGAAAAUGAAGCAAUUGUUUACUGGGUCCUCAGGGGAAGUGUGUGUGUGUGUGAGUUUAAGUGUGUGUGUGUGUGUGAGACAGUGUGUGUGUGUGUGUGUGUGUUCAGGUGGGAGCCAUUUAAUUCAUAGAGAUGUCUUUGCCAAGAACAGUUUCCCUAUUUCUGCCAUUUGGGGGGGUCCAGGGUCUUCAUCAUGAACUCUCUGAGAACUCAAGAGGCUGGGCCAGGCCUGGAGGGGAGGCAGGUUCUCCUUUCCACCGUACUGUGCCCACUGCCUUCUUUCCAGAUACCUGGUGGAAAUGGUGGUGCUGCAGAUAUCGCUGCUGUGGGGGCUGCUGCAGCUGCUGGGGCGCUGGGGCAUAUUGCGGAGGCUGUGGCUGGUGCUGGUGCUGCUGCAGGGGAAGGGUCGGGGGGUGAUCCGACAGCUUCCGGUUCAUCGAAGGUCGGAUUUCUUCUCCCACAGCCCCACUGAGGUGUGGGCCUCCCUGGGACCUCCGGUCCAGGCUGUUGCCCCGGUGACCCUGGGAGAAAGAACAGAGAUGCUGCAGAUGCAUCCUCCUCUCUGAUCGUCUGGCCCUACCCUACCCUCGGGCAGUUGUUCCCAGACCCUGCUCAUCUGGCUCCAAGAAAUAGCUGGUGGGGUGGGGGCAGCUAAAAGAUAAUUGAUGCUUUAGACCUUCACAUUUUCCAAAGUGGCCUCUGCAUUCUCAGAUCCUCCCAGUUUUAGGAGUGCAGGUCUCUGGUUCACAGACUAACACUUUUUGCCUGGUAGCCAUUUAGUCCAUUUCCAGGGCGCUCGUUUUUUCUCUGUGUAAUCAAGCUGAAAUAUUCCAUUUUACUGAUACAAUGCCACCCCUUCUUAUCACAUGUUGCCACACCACUGGACAAUCUACCCUCCAGAUAAGCUCCACUGUUGACUUUGCAUGAUUUUGAACUGUCAUUUACAGCCUGGUGAUAGAGACCCAAACAGCAACAUUCUUGCAACACCAUGGGAACCAGGCCUGCCGCCGGGCUGGACGUGGGGGAAGAAGUAAGGCCUUUUUCCCUAAUGUUACAACAACCUUACAAAUCAGAAAUACCGUAUUGUUAGUUUCAUUUAACAAACAAUUAUGUAGGACCCUGAGGGCAGCAUAUACCAGGCACUGUUCUAAGCGCUUUACAAAUAUCAACUCAUUUAAUCCCAUUUAAUGCAAUUUUAUAUUGCUUCUCUGAAUGCCCAUCCUAGUGAGUUAAUACCUCUGUCCGUUUCCUGGUUAGAGUGAUUCACAAGGUCUUGGCUAGCCUUUGUUUUCCUUUCUGAACUUCUGUGUGCAUUUGGUGGUAACUUCUUUUCUCCUUUGGCAGUAACUUCUCAGGCUUAAAAGCAACUAGGGACUCGAAAAAGGAGGAUUUUCUUGACUUCCCCAAAGCACACAUUGCUUUCACAGUCUCAAUAUCUUUUCAAAUAACCUGUCCCUAGGAUUUCAGCUAUUCUAGUGAAUGCUUCUUCCUAUGAUACCUGUCUCUUAUAACCAUGUUAUUUCCUUUGAAAAAUAGUUCAUAAAUUGGUGUGUGUGUGUGUGUGUGAGUGUGUGCAUGUGUGAAUUUACUUAUGGGAGGCAAGUUAACAUGUUCUUAGUGUUUAAUAUGGACCAGACUCUGGUAGUGCUUAGCUGUAUUAAGUCAUUUAAUCCUCACAACAGCCCAGUGAGGGAGGUUUUAUUGCUCUCUCCAUUCUACAGAUGAGAAAACUGAUACUCAGAUGGUUUCUUAACUUGGCUAGGUAAUACAGGUAGCUAAGCGAUUAAAGCAGGAUUUCAUACCAGGUCUGUCUGACGCAUUUCCUUUUAAAGCAAUAGUCUGUAUUGCAAACAGUUGCAACAGCAAUAAUUCCAAGUGCAGUUUUCUCCUCCCAUGUCCUCCCUACCCCCAAUCCCAUCAUAAAACUCCACAUGCUGAUUUAACUCCUGAACUCUAGGCUGUUCCCUAAUGUCCCUGUCUGUAGCACCCCCAACUCCUUCAUCCUUGGGCAACUCUUGAGCUAGGUUGAAAACUUUGGUGUAGCAAUGUCUAUGAAUAACAAAAAAACAGCACCUGUGGUAAGAGCUGAUGCUUGCUGAGCGCAGUGUGAUGAGGAAUGACAUGAGGCGUGGGAUACAUUAUCUUCUCCAACCUUCACAGCCAUUCUGGGAGGUAGAUAUUACCAUUGUCCCUACUUUAUGGAUGAGGAAACUGAGGCGCAGAGAACUUUCCAAAGUCACACGACUAGGAAGUGUUAAGUUGAGAUCUGACCUCAGAGCUCUGAGCUCUGUCUUUCAGUAUACUCAGAGGAUCUACCCAUCCUAUGCAUUUUUCCUGGUGGUUCAUGUGAGAACUCAGGCUGCCUAAAAUCUCUAGAUUGGGGUCGACUGGAUCUGGAGCAUACCUGGUCUUCUCGGGUUCUGUCUCUAAGGAAGAUCUGCUUCUGUCUGGAGAUGGAAUUUGUCCUGUAGUAGUCUACCAGCUUAUUUAGGGAUGGAAACUUCUCAGUCCACAGAAAGUAAUUACCCUUGUUGUCUCGCAUGACCUUGAAGUGUUGAACGUCAUCCUCAUGCCUGGAGAUCAAGGCAAAACAAAAUUGUAUGUUACACGGUGAUAAUGUCACCACCUCCAGGCUGCUCACAUCUGGGAUGGUGGAGUUCUCUUUGAGCAGGAGAUGUAGAUAUGGAUGACUCACUCAUCACUGGGCAGGUGGGCCAGCCCAGUCAGGCUUCGGCAGGAACUUUGUAGGAUGGACCACUUAGGAUACAGGCUAUGCUAGACGGGAUUUACAUCAGCAGAAGGUAAUCAGAUGAGCUAAAAUUUGUUUUGGACACUGGAACUAACCUUUUACAAGAAAAGCAUGUUCCAAGUGACUUAACGACAAAGAGAUCAAAGACCUUUUCACAAUGUUUAUUCGCAAGAUGUCAACAGGGGUAUUUCAAGCUCCUAUUAUCUUUCUGUUACCAGAAAUUCUUUGAACCAUCUCCUUUAAGCCCAUAAGCUAGCACUGGCAGGUAAGAAGCUACUCUCUUUCCUAAGAAAUAUGUCACAUUUUUUCUCUAUGUAAUAAGGAUCUCUUGAUCUUGGUUUAUGUUUUGCAUAAAUAAGGUUACAAAGUGUUUUCAGCUUUUGGUGAAAUAGCUUUGUAUGAAAUACAGAGUUUUUGUUUGUUUGUUUGUUUUGUUUUUUUGAGAUGGAGUCUCACUCUGUCGCCCAGGCUGGAGUGCAGUGGUGUGAUCUCUGCUCACUGCAACCUCCGCCUCCCAGGUUCAAGCGAUUCUCCUGUCUCAGCCUCCUGAGGAGCUGGGAUUACAGGCACCCACCACCAAGUCUUUAGUAAAGACGGGGUUUCGCCAUGUUGGUCAGGCUGGUCUUGAAGUCCAGACCUCCGGUGAUCCACCUGCCUUGGCCUCCCAAAGUGCUGGGAUUACAGGUGUGAGGCACUGCGCCCUGUGAAAUGAUAGAGUUUUAAUUGGCAAGGAUGUUGGAGAUUGUUUAGCCUUACUUCUCCAUUUUACAGAUGAGGACACUGAGGCUCACAGAGGUGCAGGGGCUUGGUCAAGGUCACUGCUGAGUAAGGGCUGAGGCCAGAACCCUGAGUCUCUGACUCCAGUCUAGUGAGCUUGGCCUGUCACGCCACCUAAACAUGAUAACUUCUUUUUUCUUUCAAAUGAGUUGGUUUAAUUUCAGGUGAUACAAAGUUUAGGGUAGAACAACGACCAAAGAGCAGAUUCUGGCAAGAUUCUGAGCUGGUUUUACUUUAAAUUCACAGUUAUGGUAGGAAUGACUUAGUGAAAACAACUAAAGAGAUGAUGAGCCACUGGAAGAUUUUUUUUUUUUUUUUUUUACAAAAGUUUAUUCUUAAAUGUACAACAGCUCCAAGACGACACUUAAUUCCAACUAUAGGUGGCAAAAGAUAUUAUAGGAGGGAAUAGAGAGGUUUAAAUACGGAUGAAAUAAAGGGUCACCGUCUCCUUAGGCACAAGGAACAGCUUAUUUUUUGCCAGAUUUCUUAAUUCCACCUGUGGCCAGAGGCCCCUUCCCCACGACCUUCGCUUUUAGCACCUCGAGUUUCUUCUGCUCCUCUUUUUGUUUCUGCUUGAAAGCCUUCUCUUCCUCGUCCAUCUCCUUGGCCUGCUUCUUGGGCUGUUUCAGUGCCUUCUUCUUGCCACCUUCGUGGCUGGACAUGGCGCCUGCCGCCCCUUCCCCAGACCCUGCCACUGGACGAUAACUUCUUUUAGAUCAGCACCUUUUGUUGCCAGUCUGGACUCACAAGUGAUGGGACACAUUCGAACCAGGGCUAGAGAAAAUGGAUUUUAUCCAUCUAGGAAGGGUGGGCUGAGCCUUUACCAUUAGAUCCAGUUUUACUUCAUUGCCAAGUCAUUCUCUUUUGGAUGUAAAGUUUAUUUUUCAAACAGACAUACAUUUAUAUCUAAAAAUAAACUGGCACUAGUGAUGCCAAUUGCCUGAUGUAAAAGAAAGGUCAAGAAUUUUAAAGGGUCUCGGAGAGUAAAGAUACCUCUGAGAGUAAGUGGAGGUUUCUUUUUGAGUCAGAGUCUCGCUCUGUCGCCCAGGCUGGAGUGCAGUGGCGUGAUCUCUGCUCACUGCAAGCACCACCUCCCAGGUUCAUGCCAUUCUCCUGCCUCAGCCUCCCAAGUAGCUGGGACUACAGGCGCCCGCCACCACGCCCGGCUAAGUUUUGUAUUUUUAGUAGAGACGGGGUUUCAUCGUGUUAGACAGGAUGGUCUCGAUCUCCUGACCUCAUGAUCCGCCCACCUCAGCCUCCCAAAGUGCUGGGAUUACAGGCGUGAGCCACUGCGCCUGACCAUGGAGGUUUCUUAGGGAUGGAUUUAGGGACCUGUGUUAAGAAGGAGAUGGAAAUUCUGACCCUCAAUCUCAUCUUAUGUGCUGGGAUUUGCUCAUAGCUGGGUGAAGCCACAGGUUGUACAAGUGGCCUCUUGCUUGACUGAUUUCGGGUGGUAAUCAACAUAUUGCAAUCACUUUGUGGUCUUCCCCUUGGUUUUGGCCACCAACAGAUACUUUCUUCAUUCUAAGACAACAUGGAUCAACUCAAAGUCAUUAUCCUUCACAUCCAGGUGAGGAGGAGAAAAUAUUCUUGUGAUAUUAUAAUUUUUCAUCCACCACCUCAAAGAACUCAGAGUGUGAAACAUUGACCCUUUUACUCUCAUAAGCUGUAAGGAUGGGUGUGAGGGUUGCAGCUGGUUAUCUGGGUCUACAAGGAGAGGAUGGCCUGACCAUUGUCUCAAGCCUGAAGAGGAACAAAGGAAAGGAUGCGACUCAGGGCGCUGGACUCCAAAAUCUGGUGUUUCAGGCCCUUAACAAAUGCUGAGUGAUAGAACUACAAUUAGCUCUUAAUUAUCUGUGCCCAUGACAGAUGUAAAAAUAAUUAAUAAUGAUUUUGCUUUGGAAAAUAUUAUACUACAUUUCUGCAAAGACGUGAUAAGGAUUACGGUAAUUGUCACCAUAACUAGAAGCUUCAUCGCCUGAAUAUCAGGGGAAGACUUCGGUAGAAGUCAAGGCCUACUGUUUUGUAGAACUCACUUUAAUUAAGGAAAUAUAAACCAUAGUUCUGGGUCCGGGCACAGUGGGUCGCGCCUGUAAUCCUAGCACUUUGGGAGGCUGAGGCGGGUGGAUUACAUGAGGCCAGGAGUUCAAGACCAGCCUGGCCAACAUGACGAAACCCCGUCUCUACUGAAAAAAACCACACACACACAAAUUAGCCAGGCGUGGUGGUGCGAACCCAUGGUCCCAGCUACUCAGGAGGCCAAGGCACGAGAAUUGCUUUGAACCUGGGAGGCGGAGGUUGCAGGGAGCCGAGAUUGCGCCACUGCACUCCAGCCUGGGCGACAGAGCGAGAGUCUGUCUCAAAAAACCAACGAAACCACAAAAACCAUAGUUUCUAGCUGAAAAAGCCAGAGUCAUCUUCAUGCAAACCAAAGGCCCAAGAGAUACCCCUCAGUCUAACAAAUUACUUGGUCAAGUUUAUGAUGGGGUAAAGAGGGGAGGCUUAAGAAAUAGAUUUGACUUGUAAUAUAUAUACACGCAUGUUAAAUAUAUGUAUAAUUGUUUUUUCUAAUAAUAUAUGUAUAUAAUAUAUGUAAAUAAUUUUUUUCUCUUGAGACAGGGUCUUGCUCUGUCACCCAGGCUAGAGUGCAGUGGUGCGAUCGAUCUUGGCUCACUGCAACCUCAACCGCCCAGCUCCAACAAUCCUUUAACUUCAGCCUCCCAAGUAGUUGGGACCACAGGCAUGCGCCACUGCACUGGGUUAAUUUUUUAUUUUUAGUAGAGAUGAGGUCUCACUAGUUGCCCCGGCUGGUCUCCAACUCCUUGGCUUAAAGCAUUCCUCCCAACUCAGCCUCCCAAAGUGCUGGGAUUAGAGGCAUGAGCCACGGCGCCCGACCCUGACUUGUAAUAUAUGUUAAUGGAGCGAAAUUUCAUUAAUUAAGACCUAACAAGAUUAGAAUUUGUGAUACAUCAAUAUUGGCCUGAACUAAAGUUAACCAUUCUCCAAGCUAUGAAAAUAAAGUUUUUACUGAAGAAAAGAGUUUAAGCAAGAUUGCAAGGGCAAUGCUAAAGAGACCACUUUAAAGGUAUGUAUGCAUACAAAUUGUUGACCUGUUAUUUUUAAGUCCUUCCUACCUAUCCUUUCAAAUAUCCAUUCUUUCUAAACAGCAAAGUGGCCACAGUUUAUUACUUGAGAUUGGAUUUCUGUCCUUAAAACAAAGCUUUAUGCCUUUCAAAAUAUAUUGAAUAAACCAGAUCGGUAUUUCCUGCCAAUAACUUGACAGUAAGGUUUUGCUGUACUUCUCCUGAUCUGCUAACAGCAUUAUAUUCUUGCAGUUUCACAUGUGGUGAAGUCUGAUACGUGACUUGCGAUCCUCAACAUGCUGACCACACACAGUGUGUUCCGAACUGGGCUUCUGAGUUUGGGGCUGUGUAAUGUCUACGCGUGGACUGAGUCACUUCCUAUGGGUUGCUGCACCUUAGUGAGAUUUCGCUGUUACAGUCCUCCCCCACUCCUGGCCCUCUGUUCUGUGGUUUUCGGUCUUGCUGUACUGUACUGUGUUGAAGUAGCCUUUCUUUUUGUUCAGCUGCCUACAACUAUACAUGUAUUUGUUGGGGCUCAGAAAACGACACCCCUUGGCAUGCUGAGUGCUUCGAACCAAAGGAGAUGGGAAGGUUUCAGAAGCAGCCUUGGAAGCAAAGUCUUCCUUUGGCCUUCUCCUGCCCUCCUGUCUCCCGCUCCUCUUUCUCCCCCUGAGUGAGUCAUAGAAAUUAGAAUUCCUCUUCCCCACAGUGGGUCAGAGAGACUAGAAGGGUCACUAUGGGGGAGGCCAAGGCAGGAGGAUUACUCGAGGCCAGGAGUUUGAGAUCAGCCCAGGCAACACAGUAAGACCUAGUCUCUACAAAGAAAUAAGUUAAAAAAAUAUUAGCCAGGUGUGGUGGUGUGCACCUGUAUCCCCAGCUACUUGAGAGGCUGAGGUGGGAAGAUGGCUUGAGCCUGGGACACAGAGGCUGUGGUGAGCAAUGAUUGCGUCACUGCACUCCAGCCUGGGCAACAGCUGUCUCCAAAAAAAAAAAAAAAAAAGAAGACUUGGGACAGGCCUUGUUCAGUUUCCUACCUCAGUCUGUUACCUUAGAUCAAACCCCCUUUGUCCAAUCCCAUUUCUACAGGGCUGUCUGUCCUUUGACAAACCUAAGCAUAAAAAUAGACGGCUUUCCCUGGGUCUUGGGUCUUCAUUUCUGAAGGCUUCUGUGUCACACAAGUCUUUGAUUAAAUAAAUGUGUCCACUCUCCUCUUGUUAACCUGUCUUGUAGGAGUGUCAGCUGUGACUCCUCUGAUGGGCAAAGAAAGGUGCCACAACUUUUCCGCCCCUGUAUAUCCUACAGCAGUGACUUGAGAUUUCUAUUUUUCUCUGACUCUUCUUCAGAUAUGCAUCAAUCAUAAAAGAAAAGGUUAAGAUUUAAACCCCCAGAUGGAUCUGGACAAGUGGGAGUUCUCCUCCUCCUAUCCCUCCUUCCUUCCACAAAUACUCACUGAGUGUCUCUCUUUUAUGCAAGACACUGUUAAAGGCAUAAAGAUGAAGUAGAGGAAAAUCCUGCCCUUCCAGAAGCACCUGGGCUAGAAGGGGAGGCAGAUGGGCGUAGAAAUAAUUUCAAACACACACCAGUGUUCUAAAGAGUGGUGUGUGCAUGUUUUGGGAAGGCACUGGGAGCAGCAGGUUGUGAAGCUGCUGCCAUGCUUGGCCCCUAGGCCACCAUGCUUCUGACCAUUGGGUCAUAUUCCAGAGGUCCCUUCAUGGCUUCAGCAUUCUGUGAGGUUAACAGGCCGAGAAGGGCCAAGGCAGUGUCAGGAAUGGUCAGUACCUGACAGAGAUGGAGAAGUCCCCUGGGGAGCUCUGGCUGGCCCGGAUGAUGAAGAAGCCAACCUCCUUGCCCAUGAGUAAGUUCUCUGCCUGGUGUCGAGAGAGGCCUUCGUGAAACCAUCUGUGGGGGCGAGAUCAAACAAAAGGAUCAGGAUGAGACACAGGAGUGACAAGAGGGAGACGUGGAGAAGAGGUGACCCAGAGGGAAAGAGGCUGGGGACUCUGUACAGUAGGGAGCAGAGAGAGACCAGGUGCUGUUUGAAAUCAAACCAGUGCUCCAGGCAGCUUUCAGGAAAGGCGAGGGAGCAUUCCCCUUGAUUCACCCUCUUUGUUCCUUCUCUCCAGGAGAAGUCUCUCUCCAGCCUGGGAAACGAAUCAUGGAAAUGUGUCGCUGCACCAAAAUGGGGCAGUGUGGGAGUGACUCACUGCAGGAAGCAGCCGCCUGCCGGCAGCUGCGGAAGAGAUAGACCAGAGCUGCGAGGACAGAGGAUGCACUGGGGAGGGAAGGGAAGGCUUCAGGCACUGGAGCCAACCAGGUGCAGCCGGCUGAGCAGGGCCUGGGGUGCUCAUGCCUGCCCUGAGGUCUCAGUGGCCUAGAGGUUCCUCCCUGGGUAUUAAAGGAAAGUUACAGCCCAGGGCGUCACGUUACCUAGGCUGGCAUGGAGCACAAGGGGGCUUUGCUCAGUGUGCCUAGCAGAGGCUGCAGUGUUCCUAGGGAGUCCAGUGUACAUGCUUGGAAAUCAGCGAGGCUGGCAGCCGCCAGAGAGCGGCGUCUAUACAACCAGAUCCUGGGCCUGCCCCAAAAAUCCAGGCUGGGAAAUAAUCUUUACUGUGGAAAAGAAGAAACAGGAGAAAUUACUCUUUUAGCAGAAUGGUCAGGGUGGCAGCCCCUGGAGGUACAGCUGCAUACAGCGUGGCAUGUAUGAAAUAGGUCAAACACUUACACAGGGCCAGGCAAGCUGUGGCUGCAGCCUCAAAGCAGGAGGCCAGAGACCUCUCUCCACCACAGACAAGCAAAAUGAGUGUCUGCAAUCACUCAGCGGCCAAAGGUGGGACUGUGUCACAUUGCUUCAAGGUGGCUGCUCUAAUUGCUGUCACCAGAAGGCUCAUACGCAUGUUCCUUUAAGAUAAAAGCCCGUCAGGCCUUGGCUUUGGAUUCCUUUGUGAGCAAUUCUCUGUGCUUUCUAGAAUUUGGGAAACUGAGACAUAGGUAGCAGGAAGGAUGUACUUACUGGAGACUGAGUCCCCCACUGGGACUGAGGGGGAAGUUUGGCUGUGCUCUGAGAGGGCUGAAAGCAGCAGUUUCUGGUGGCCUGGAGAUUCUGCCUGAGUAUUUGCCACACAAUUCUACAGGGCUAAACAAGAGGCCACCACACACACCACUGCCACGUGUGGGAAAUGUAAUGGGGAUGGGAAGAGGAAUGGAGUAUGCACCACAGCAGCCAUAUCGCAAAGGAAACAUUUCAGAAGUGAAGGGGAUUUAGGAAAUACACAUUUGUCCUCUGACUGCAAUCUGAUAGGGGGCUUCUUUAAAGAUUUGUAAAAAUCACCACACAUUGCAUAUUAGACAUGAGUGGUCAUGGUUUCAAUAAUACAUAUUCGUUCGUUCAUUCAUUCAUUCAUUCAUUCAACAGCUUUACUGAACAUCUAGUACUGUGCUGGGCCCCUCCUGGGCACUGGGGACACAGUAGUGGGCAGAACAGACACACACCCCUGCCCUCAGGGAGCUUACAUUCUAGUCGAGGGGGACACACACAAAAGAACAAAAUAAUUAAGAUCUGAAGCGUGCCAGAUGAUGGUAAGUGCUGUGGAGAACAUGAAAACUGAGAGGAGAGAUGGGGCGCUGUGGGUGGGAGAUUAAUGUAAGGUAUGGUGAUGAGAAAGACCUCACUGAAAAGGAGACAUUCUAAACCUAUAGGGGACUGGGGAGUGGGAGGAACCAACACAAGAGACUGAGGAGGAGAAGCCAGGGCAGUGGGAGGACAACCGGAGGAAGGACGUCCUGGAGCCAAAAUGAAAGAGGUGUUCCAGUGGGAGGGGGGAUCCCCAGGGCAGGUCAUGCUGAGAUGACCCCUGGGAGCUACAGCCCAUGGGGAGCCUGGUGGGAAGGGUCGGGAGAUGAGGAGUUGGAAGUAGCAAAUGCACACACUCCUUUUGAAGAGAUGGAGUGGCAAGUGGAAGGGGAUUUGGGAUUAAGAAUUUUCUUGAUUUAUUUAUUUAUUUAAAUUUUUUUUUUCUUUGAAACAGAGUCUCUCUCUGCUGCCCAGGCUGGAGUGCAGUGAUAUAAUCAUGGUCCACCACAGCCUUGAACUCCCAGGCUCAAGCGAUCCUCCUGCCUCAGCCUCCCAAGCAGCUGGGACUAUAGGCGCAUGCCACCACGACCAGCUAAUUUUUAAAAAUUUUUUGUAGAGAUGGGGCUCGCUAUGUUGCCCAGGCUGGUCUCAAACUCCUAGCCACAAGUGAUCCUCCUCCCUCAGCCUCUCAAAGGACUGGGAUUACAGGCAUCAGCCACAACAAAACCCACCUGGCCUCUGGGUUUGGUUUUGUUUGUUUGUGUUUUGGUAAGUUGGGAGAAAUUGCAGCGUGUGUGUUUGCUGACAGGAAUGAUCCAGCAGAGAGGGAAAGGAGGUUGACGUGGAAGAGAGAGAGAGGAGAAUUUCUGCUAGAAGCAGUGACAGUUCCUUCCAGCCAGCUGCAGGAAAGGCCGACUGUUUGAGCACACUUGCAGGAGGCAGGUGGAUGCGGUGGGGGAGGGGGGUCUGGGAGCUUCACUUCUGGUGGCUUUCAUUGUUCCAGAGAACCUGGAAUCAAGGUCACGGGCUAAGAGUGAUGCACGGAGGGGCUGAAGGUUUGAGGAGCACGUGGGGUAUGCAGAGGUCACCUAGCAGAUUCCUGGGCAGCAUCAAGGGUUCCGUCAAGGUCAGUGGUCAUUCUCUUGGUUUGGUGGUCAGUUCAGGUUUACCAAGACUGGUGCUCUUGCACCUUGCUGGAGUCACCAAUACUACUGUGGUUUUCUAACAAGCUUUUGCUCUUUGAGCUAGACCCUGGUUCUGAGGCAAGAUUAGAUUUCUAUCUAACCCUUGUGGUCAAUUCUUGAGACAAACGAAGCCCAAUCUCAAUUUUUCAUUUCCUCUUUAGGAAGAGAAUUUCCCCUUCCCCCCGCUGACUUCUCUCAUUGGGGUGAGCAUGCUUUACUGAAGGCAGGGAGUGUCUGUCCACCCACUGAGUGAAGGGUGAGAGCCUGGUGAGGAUGGUUAGGAUUAGGAGGUCACAGAGAAGCGCUUAGGAGAGCAGCUCCCGAAGUGGGGUGGCCAAUAGCGUCCCCUUUGGAAUUCUGGGGAACGCCGUGAUUGAAAUCACUAUAGAUAAUUUGAGUUUACAAACUCAUUUUAUAAAAACUUAAAAUAGGCCGGGUGCAGUGGCUCACACCUGUAAUCCCAGCACUUUGGGAGGCCGAGGCGGGUGGAUCACCUGAGGUCAAGAGUUUGAGACCAGCCUGUCCAUCAUGGUGAAACCCCAUCUCUACUAAAAAUACAAAAGUUAGCUGGGUGUGGUGGCAUGCACCUGUAAUCCCAGCUACUAGGGAGGCUGAGGCAGGAGAAUUGCAAUGAGCCGAGAUCAUGCCACUGCACUCCAGCCUGGGCAACAGAGCAAGGUUCUGUCUCAAAACAAAUAAACACAUGAAUAAAAAAACCCAAAAAAACCCAAAACUUAAAAUAGGCCAGGCAUGGUGGUUCACGCCUGUAAUCCCAGCACUUUGGGAGGCUGAGGCGGCAGAUCACUUGAGGUCAGGAGUUUGGGACCAGCCUGGCCAACAUGGUAAAACCCUGUCUCUACUAAAAAUACAAAAACUAGCCUGGCGUGGUGGCAUGUGCCUGUAAUCCCAGCUACUUGGGAGGCUGAGGUGAGAGGAUGGCUUGAGCCCAGGAGUUUUAGGCUGCAGUGAGUGGUGAUGGAGUCACCGCACUCCAGCCUGGGUGACAGAGGGAGACCCCAACUCCCAAAAAAAAAAAAAAAAAGUUAAGAACAACUUAAAAUAGCAAUACAUGCACAUGGUGUAAACAUCAAAAGGGAAUGAAAUGAAAUGCAAAGUCUCCCUCCUGCCCUGGCCUUCAGCUGCAUGCUCUGGAGGCUCUCCGGAGAGAGCUCCAGAGGCAGCCAUUUUUGACAAUGUCUUGGGUUCCCAUGGAUAACUGUAGUGACUGCUGGAAAUGUAAGAGGAGUGUGUGUGGCUAGGCCCAUCUCAGCAGGCUGCAGAUACUUACUUGGGAAACUGGAUGUCUAUGAAAUUCUUGGGCACAUAUCCUUCCUGGCUCCCAAGCUCCGCCUUAAACCACUCCUCUUGGUUACUUAAAAUCUACAUGGAAGAAAAGGAAAGACAAAGACAUUGGAGGGAGGACACCAAAAAAACAAGAGAAAGGGGCUGCCAGGCAAAGAAGGCCCUUUUGGACUUAGAGGAAAAUAUGUUAAUAAGUUGAAAGAACUCAACAGCUGUUCUAGGAUUUACCCCAGGCCUGUGGAGGAGCCGUGGGUUUACCUUUGGAGUCAGCUUCUCCUGACCCCAGGUUAUUUCUGUCCACUUGUGCCGUCCACUCAUGUCACCCCACUGUGGCUUGGCCUCCCAAAUUCAGCACUCAAGGACUUCCCUGAAUCCCUUUUUCUAUUUUGGAAAUUCAUUUGUCCCAGUUAGCACCUUAAGUUCCUCAUCUCAGCAGAUGGUGAGAAGGAAGAAUGGUUACUCCACGGUGUAUUUUUUUUUUUCUCUUCCAGGUAACCAGGAAACUUUUCUCUUUUUUUUGUUGUUGUUUUUCGUUUUUUUGAGACAGAGUCUUGCUCUGUCGCCAGGCUGGAGUGCAGUGGCGGGAUCUCAGCUCACUGCAACCUCCACCUCCUGGGUUCAAGCGAUCCCCCUGCCUCAGCCUCCUGAGUAGCUGGGAUUACAGGCAUGCGCCACUACACCUGGCUAAUUUUUCAUAUUUUUAGGAGAGACGGGGUUUUACCAUAUUGGCCGGGACUGUCUUGAUCCUUUGACCUAGUGAUCCACCUGCCUUGGCCUCCCAAAGUGCUGGGAUUACAGGCGUGAGCCACCAGGCCCAGGAAACUUUUCAAAAAUUCAAUUUGUUAUUGUUUUUUAAACAGGCAGAUUAAAACUUAAACAUCCCAGUGGGGCCAGCUUUGGAAACAGUAACUCUUUGUGUUCACAUGCUGUGUAUUUCACAGAUAUUUGGCUGGAACCCAAGAUACUUGGGAUGCCUUUUCUAAACUUGCUUUUAAAGCCAGAUCCCAAACAAAACCAAAAGUUCUGUCUUGUUACUCUGUGGCCUGACUUUGACUGUGACCCCAAAUGUUAUUGUCUACCUCAGUUACUCAUAUUACUCACCAGACUUGACUGUAUGUGGCUUCUGGUUUCUCAAAAAAUGAGAUUCACCAUUAAAAGACAAAAUAUUUGACACCGCCACUGAGAAUGUUUUGAAAGUCUGAGGCCAGGUGUGGUGGCUCGCGCCUGUAAUCCCAGCACUUUGAGAGGCCAAGGCACAUAGAUCACUUGAGGCCAGGAGUUCGAGACCAGCCUGUCCAUCAUGGUGAAAUGCCAUCUCUACUAAAAAUACAAAAAGGAGCCGGGCCUGGUGGCACAUGCCUGUAAUCCCAGCUACUCGGGAGGCUGAGGCAGGAGAAUUGCUUGAACCCAGGAGGCAAGGUUGCAGUGAACCGUGAUCUUGCCACUGGACUCCAGCCUGGGCAACAGAGCAAGCCUCUCUCAAAAAAAAAAUUUUUUUUAAGUCUUUGAUAUAGACUAGAACAAUAAUUCUAAAUAAGGAUAGCAGAGCAAAAGAUGGAAAGAACUCUGAUAAUGUCACUGAACCGCUGAAUUAGAUGAUACCCAGGAGCCUUCCUACUUCUGGACUUUGAGAAAUUACAAGUCUUUGUUAUUGUUUAAGCCAUUUUUAGUUUAUGUUUCUUGCUCCUGAAAAUAUCUUAACUGAUAGAAGUGUGAUGAUAAAGAAGAAAGCAGAAAUAGAUAGAAAAGGCAUCCAUAUGUAGAGGAGAGACCACUUGCCUUGGCAACGAAAGGAGUUACUGAGGCCAAGUCAGAUGGCAAUGGACUUCCUCCUUCAGCUCUGAGGAGGUGUGGUGUGUUCUGGGAAUGAAAUGCCUCCAGGUGGCUGGAAUGUAGACUGUGAAUAUCUUGAAAUGUAGGGGGAGCCCUUAAAGGAUUUUGAGCAGGGAAGUAACAGUAAGAAUUAGAGUUCAGAAAGAGCUCUGGCUGGGUGCGAUGGCUCAUGCCUGUAAUCCCAGCACUUUGGGAGGCCCAAGUGGACGAUCGCUUGAGCCCAGGAGUUUGAGACCAGCCUGGGCAACAAAGCGAGACCUUGUCUCUAUGAAAAUAAAAAUAAAACUUAGCAAGGCGUGGUGGAAGCGCACCUGUAGUCCCAGCUACUCAGGAGGCUGAAGCGGGAGGAGGGUGUGAGCCCAGGAGUUAAAGGCUGUAGUGAGCUCUGAUUGUACCACUGUACUACAGCCUGGACAACAGAGAGAGACUCUGUCUCUAAUUAAGAGAGAGCGAGAGAGCGACAGAGCUCUGUAUCAGAGAUCAGAAUGUGAAGAUAGAUUGCAAGGCUAAAGUCGGCAGAAAAACUGCAGGAAGAUGAGCGCAGGCCUCCAGUCAAGAGAUGAUAGGGCCUAGGCUAAGAGGAGGUGAGGAUAUAUUUUAGAGAAAUUCAGGAAGCAAACAGGCAGGAUUUCUUGACCAAUCUUGGAAGCUAAGGGAGAGGAGGACUCUGGGAUGCCACUGGAUUUCUGGCUUGGGAGACUGAGUAGGUGGUGACGGCUUUACAGAAAUAGAAGAUACAUGAGAGGAGGCAGGGCUGAGAAAGGGCUCAUGGGCUUCAGAUUGCAUGCGGGUGACUGUGAGUUGAAUUCUUCAACUAAGAAGAAAAGCUCAGGGAGCAGCUGGAUAUGUCAGUCUGGACCCAGGAGAGAGGCUAAGGUUGGGGCUUGGGGUUUCAGAGUCAUCAGAAAGUGGGUGGAGUUGAAGUCACAGGGCCCUUGGGCUUCUUUCUCCCAGAAAAGAAGAUGGGAAGAUAAUGGAAAGAACUAAGUGCUUGAGUGGAGAUGAUGACCUAUUUCUAACAUCACUCCAAGGUGGAAGGAAGGGGACAGUGUUGUGAGUUGGGAACGAGAAGACCUGGUUUCUAGCUUGGCUCCAUCACUAGAUAUGUGAUCUUGGCCAAGUCAAUCAGCCAUUUGAAAAAUGGAGAUAAUAAUAGCCACCUAGCACCUCACAGAGCUGAUGUGAGGAUCAAAUGAGCCCUGGUACCUGAAAGUCCUUCAGAAAGUGUAGACUCUUUUCAAAAAAUACAAUUCCAUCAAAUGUGGUAUUCUUAUGAGGGAGGCCUCCAGCUCUGAAUAGGACAUGGAAGGGUUUAUACGUUCUUUAAAGCAUUAUGUGUGUAUGUUUUGAAUUUAGUCAUUUAUUCUGAAGGAAUAAAAGUGUGUCCCAUAUUUGAGUUUGAGAUUGCUGAGAACAGAAAACUUUAUAGUUUCUAACAUCAAAUGUGACUGCUGGUGUCACUAAGGACAUGUGGGUAUGUGUGUGCUGAGGGGGCAAGGGAGGAAGCAGAAAAUCUAGGUCAAAAGAACUAGGAAACCCAGCAGCAGCGCCUCGUAGCCACGUAAAAACACAAGAGCACACUGCACUCCAUCCAUCGCUUCUGAAUUCAUGGCAUUGGAAUUCCUUUCUCCCGUCACAUGGGAAUGUGGUGUUUGGCCAGGGUAGCAAAUGUCACACAGAAAGGGGUAAAAGAGGCCAUUUGGAAACUACCUUGUCACCGUAAGAACCACACGUUGAGGCCGGGUGCCAUGGCUCACGCUUAUAAUCCCAGCACUUUGGGAGGCUGAGGCGGGUGGAUCACCUAAGGUCAGGAGUUUGAGACCAGCCUGGCCAACAUGGCAAAACCUGAUCUCUACCAUAAAGACAAAAAUUAGCCAGGCAUGGUGGUGCAUGCCUGUAAUCUCAGCUACUUGGGAGGCUGAGCCACGAGAAUUGCUUGAACCCAGGAGGCGGAGGUUGCAGUGAGCCGAGAUUGCGCCAUUGCACUCCAGCCUGGGCAACAGAGCAAGACUCUGUCUCAAAAAGAAAAAAAAAAAAAAAAAAACCACACACUUUGUACUUCAUUUUCUGACCUGAAAGCAGCUCUGUAAUUUUAGUUAUCAUGCCUCAGACCUCCUCUAGAAACUGAAAGAUUAUCCCACAAUGCCAGCCAUUUCUCUCCGCCACCUGGUGCUUGGUCUGCCUAACACUGUGUUUCUAGAGAGGUGAAUUUGCAGGCUCUUUACCAUGUAUAGAAGGUGAGGUUUUUUUUUAAAAAAAAUUCUCAUUUUCUGCAAAGAAAAGUAUUUGAGGGGAGGGGAGAUGGUUUCCUCCUGCCGUUGUGGGCCCAGGGCCCCACACUUCCUGUUCUUCUCAUCUCUCCAUCUGUUCGGUUCCCCCUAUCUCGUGUACCCAUCGUGUAAACCUGAGCAAGGCGUUCAGCCUGAACACUUGAAGUUUUACUCUUGACUGUUUCUUAAUUCUUAUAAUGUUCCCUAAGAGAUGAUUUUUUGGGUUACAUGGCCUGUGAAUAAGUUAGACGUGGGAAGAGAAGGGCCAAAUUACGGCUGGAAGAAUUUUUAAAUUGGAUGAAAUUGUAGCUUUUAGAAACAUAGCAAAAAUCUGAAGUAUUGAAGAAAUGAAUUAUGUGGAAUUAACUCUUAGUGCUUUUAGGUUGCUAUUUUAGCAGGAAGAAAUGAGGUCGCAUUAGCUGCAUUACAGAAGGAGACAGAAAUGGACUGGGUCAAGAGAUAUUUUUCAAAGCUACUGGCAAAUUUAAUGGCAAAUUCAAAUGUGAGGCUGGUGCUGUGUGUAGCUGCAGGUAUGGUGGUUUGUGGCAUGAAUAGGAAAAAAAUCUGAUUCCUGAGUUUCCAAAUGUUUCCGUCAUAGGAGAAGCAGGAUCAAGUCAUUUGGCAGCGUUUUCCUGUCCACCAUCUUGAUCUACAUGCCGUGUAGAUCACCAUCUAGUGAGCACCUGCUGAUUGCACUUAGGUGCAUGAAAUAUGGAGAUAAAUAAGCUGGGGCCUCUGCCCCAGGAAACUGAUGGUCUGUUGAGGGUGGGUGGCUGCUCAGACUUUUUUGUACCUUUCUAAUGAAAACCUCUGUUUAGUCUUUAGCACAAAAGGCCAAACAAGUCAGAGAAUCCCAGAAGCGAAUUGCUGGGGUAGUCAGGAGCUGGCUUUGAAAGUAUUUGUGAGGAUCCUGGGUGUGUUACCCAUUGAGGAAGGUGGGGGGCAGACAUUGCAAUCACAUGUGGGGAGUCCCAGCCAUGGGAACCAAUCACCAUCCUGUAGACAUUCUGUGGGGCUCAGUCAACAAGCCCUCCCCAUUUUGCUCUUUACCUGCAAUGGACAGAAUUUGAAAAGAGGGAGGGGGUUGGCUUUCCAAUGGAAUUCUAAAUGAACAGGAAGAAAUGCAAUUUAGCAAUUCAAGAAAUAUGUACUGGGCAUCUAUUUUGGGCCAUGACUUGUGUUAGAUGCUGUGAAGACACAAAGACGAACCUGGCAUUGUGUGCACACGUGCAUGACAUUGCUCUCAGGGAAUGGAGAGGAAUUGAAAGUUCAUUCAUUCGUCAAGUGUCAGGGAGUUCUAGGCACAGCUCUUCUAGACAUUGAGGCAGAAACAGCCCCUGCCCUUGCACAGCUUUUGCUAGUGGAGUAGACAACACAUAAACGAGCAAUUAGGAUCCCACGGGGCAAAGGCAGCAAUGAGAGGUAGAAAUAGAGGGUGCAUGAGACCACAGGGUCAUGGCCUGCCUAUAAAUAGCUGCCAUGUGAGGCAAAGUCAUAAGUGCCUGGAAAUGAGUGAAGUUUAUGUGAAAUGUUGGGGAGGAGCUGAAGAGGGAGUGAUUUGUUUCCCUGGGAUGGUAGGGAGUGGAGAGGACCAGCGAGGUUUCCAUGGUAGAGGAGGUCAAGUAUGUGUGUGUAGGAGAGGGGCAAUCAGAGUAUAUAGGGGAGAGGCUGAGAAAGGGCGGUGUAUACAUUGCAGUGCAACCUGGGGGCGUUACAUCUACAAAGAUGUCUCUGUGUGGGUGUGUGCACACAUGUGUACAUGUGCAUAAUGACACUGGACAGUGGUUUGGGGCCAGAUGUUUUCAGUCUCAAUCAAUUGGUAAUUGGAAACCCCUGAAUGCUUUUGAGCAAGGAAAUGAUAUGAUCUGAUUUGUCUGGAAAGAUCCCUCUGGGACUAGUAAGAAGAAUGAGUGAAGGAGGAAAAAGACAAGAGGUAAUGAGGUCAGUCAAGGAGCUGUGGCAAUGAUCUGAGCAGUCAGAAGCAGCGGGGAUGGAUGAUCCCGAUAAUGCGGGCCACCAUUUAUUGGGCGUCUACGUUGGGACAGGGUCAUCACCUCGAAUCCUCUCCACAACCCGGCAAGAUGGAUACUACCUCCACUUGCUGAGGAAGACACUAAAGCUCAAAGGGGGCAGAUGACUGGGCCCCAGUCUCCAUGGUUAGUAAGCUGGGAUUCAAACUCAGAUCCAUCUGACUCAAAGUCUAUGCUCCUUUUUACUGCCUCACACUCCUUUCUGGUGAAGAAGAGACUUGCUUGAGAGAUAUGAGGAAAAAAAUACAUUCAGAGCAGAGUUUAGUGCUUAGGAGUCAGACAGAGUUCUGUCCAGGUCCUGGAUUGGUCACAUGCUAGCUGUGUGACUGUGGACAUGUGAUUUAAUCCCUAGCCUCAGUUUCUCAUCUAUGAAAUGGAGGGGAAAUGAAUGCCUACCUCACAGGUUUGCUGAGAUGAUGAAAUCAUGCCUGCAAACCACUUAGCUAGAUCCUGGCCCUGAACAGGAGCUCAGGAGACGUUGGUUACUGGUCACCAGGAUUUGGUAAAGGAGGCAUUGAUGAUAAUUGGGGCUUCUAGCUUGUGACUGACCUAGGAUAAUAAUUAGAACAUGGAAAGAAGAGUGGCUUGGGUGGAAAUGGGGGUGAGAUGGGCAUGGGGGUUUGAGUGAUUCUCGGCAUCCUGAGUUAGGGGCUGGAGUUCAUGUGGGGACAUCCAGCAGACAAUUGGAAGUCUGGGUCUGGAGUUCAAGAGCAAGGCCAGAGCUAGAACACGAGCCACAGACUUGAGGGUCUUUGGCACAGAGGUGAUAGUUGCAGCUGAAGAAGUGGAUGAGGUGGCUCAGAGUGAGAAGAAAAAUCAGAAAGCCAAAGGCAGCACCUUCAGGGAAGUGUAUAUUUCAGGAUCAAGAGAGGAAAAAGAAUGCUUGGAAAUGAGACCUGUAGGAGUGGUCAGGAAGGGAGGAGAAGAACCCGGAGAGGGUGGUGCUGCCAAAGCCAGGGAGAAAGGGGCUUCCAGGAGAGGGCCAGUUAGCAGUGUCAAUCCCACAGACAUUUCCAUAGGGUCAUUAUACUACACAUUAAGGAGAUCACUGGUGAACUUCAAGAGAAUGUUGCAGGGAGGGUAAAAGGCAGAUUCCAGAGAGUUGUGGAAUGAGUGGGAAGUGAGGAAGUGAAGCACGCCCAGUGUAGAGAAUUCUUCCCAGUAUUAGCAACAAAGGGGAGGAAAGAAAUCAGGAGCUGGAUUGGGAAGCAGAGUUGAGCAAAGUUUUUUUUUUUUUUCUUUCCUUUUUCCUUUUCUGAGGAAUAGAGAAAACUUAAGAUACCAGGUUCUCUUUGUAAUGGAAGACGAGGGUGGAAGUUGGUACAAGGAUGGUCUCCAGUGGAUGACAGUCACAUGAUCACAGUGCCCCACAGAGAAGGCAGGAACUUCUCGCUGCUUGGCAAGUCCCUCCAGGAGCUUCGUAAGACCCCAAAGCAGUGACAGACAGGUUUUCCUGGGUCAGGAGGCCCAACUCAUAUUUUAAGUUUGUGAAGGCCUAUGCUUUGCCACUAUGUUACUAGAUCUUGAAAGUUGAGAGCAGUUAGAAGGCUACCUAAUGGGCAUGUUCAUAUUCCAAAAGAAGCCAUUCUGUGGUGUUUUGUGCUCCUCAGACACUUUCAAUGUCACCCUCUCACAUGCUGACAAGGUUCUUUGUAUAACAAACCUAAUUCUCGGUGGUGAGACACUAAUGGCCUCAGUGUUGCUGGGCGUCCGAGAAGGCUCAUUGGGACUGCUGAGGACCAGGGAUCAGGCUAUCUGAGGACCAGGGAUCAGGCUAUCUGAGGACCAGGGAUCAGGCUAUCUGAGGGUGCUCUGAGGUCAGGCAGAGGGGGUCUGGCUCCACACACUCCCAAAUGCCCUUUUGAAGGGCUUAUGCUCUUUUGCAAACAAACAAAACAAAACAAAAACCCAAGGGCUAAGAUGCAGAGUCUGAAAGUAUGGUGCAUGAAUGUGGGAGAAGUCCAAGGCCACUUCAGCUCAGCAAGUGGCCACUACAACUCAAGUGCAGGAUGAGGACAAGCUUUAAAAAGCCCCUGAGUGGCCAGGUGUGCAUGGCCUUUGUUGAGCCAUGUCCUCUGUGGCUGCCUUUCCCAAGCUGUCUCCACCCACAACCUCUCCUCCUGAGUUCCAGCUCUGCUGAGCCUGGCGCUGCUCCCUGCAUUCAGCAUGGGCUUGCACAUCUCUGAGCUUUAGCUAAAAGCCCAAGUCACCUUCAGUGCAUUCCUGACGUUCACAUUGCACACACUCCUACAACCCCCAUCUUUCAAGAUGGAAUCACUUGUUCCCUCACCUGUGCUCCCUGAGAACUUAGCCAAGAACAUCUGUAACAGCCCUUUGGGUGGAUGUGUUCCCCUCUCCAGACUACGAACCUCCCAGGACAAGGAUGGUGGCUUAUGCCGACUGUAUUUCCAUCACCCGGCCUGGUUGGUGUCUGGUAUAAGGGUGCACAAAGGGAAUCAAGGUGAACUUCUCUUUUUAAAAGGAACCACAUGCAGUUCUUAAGAGACAAAGGCAGGGACUGUCAGAUUACUGAGUAACUGAAACUCCCUACUGCUCCCCUGGGGCCCCAGGUCACCUACCUUCAAAACAUCUCCAGUGUGAAAGCUCAGUUCAUCCUCACCUGAAGCAGUGAAAUCAAACUUGGCAACAGCUUCCAUGCUGUAACGUGAAGCUGGAAGAGAAAUAAUGUGGUCAUUGUGCCUCUCUGCCAGGGGGAGGGCAGCAGAGCCGAUGGUGCUUCCUGGUAAUCAGCAGUUCCUAGGAGAGUGGGCAGAUGGAUGUCUCCAGGCCGGAGAGCAAGGCUCAGGCACACAACAAGGGCUUGUGUUUGCAGGAAGAGCUGCCGGAAUCUAUAGGAUCUAGGUCCUGGGAUCAUUCUCGGAAUCCCCAGAUGCCAGGAGCAGGAAAUGAAGGCCAUCCGCAGCCUUUCCCUUCUCCUUUCAUCAUCCUGGCCUGACACCACUUUUGGGGGCAUCUCUGUUUGCAGCUGAUAAGGAGGGAAGGCUUGCUAUCAUCUGUAACUUGAGGCCUGAGGGGCUGGAAAGACUAUUCUGUAAACACUGUCCCAAGGCUGUCCCUUGGCAGCUAUAUUUAACCAGGCAGUGUUAAUUAGACGGAUGCCAUUUCCUCUUUUACAUCUGAAUCAUUUAAGAGAAUUAGACAGCAUUGGCCAGUGGGGAACUCAGCUUCCUUCUGCAUGGUUUGGGAGUAGAAAGAAGUUCUUGGUCUUCGAGUUGGGAGGCUCAAUUGGUCAGAUUACUUAUUUUAUGAUAUAUUAUAAACCAAGUACAUUUUGGGAAUUUUGAUUUUAACAUUUUUGAAUUGAGUUAAAAUAGUGGCCCCCUUCUUGUAAUGCAUGAGACCCAUGUAAAGAUAAAUGAGUCGGCCUAUGUAAUACAUUUAGUAUGAACUAGAGCUGUGCUUUAGGAGGCAGCGGGGAUGUAAUGGUAAGACAGCUGGCUCCAAUCCCAGUUUUGUUGGUAGAUAGCUGUAGACUCUUGGGCAAGUAAUUAAACCCUUGGAGUCUCCAUUUCCUCAUCUAUAAAAUGGUGAUCAUAAUAUUCAAUUAAUAAAGUUGCAAGGUUAAAUCAAAUUAUAGAUGCAGGCCGGGCGCUGUGGCUCAUGCCUGUAAUCCCAGCACUUUGGGAGGUCGAGGCGGGCAGAUCACCUGAGGUCAGGAGUUCAAGACCAUCCUGGCCAACAUGGCAAAACCCUGUCUCUACUAAAAAUACAAAAAUUAGCUGGGUGCCGUGGCACGUGCCUGUAAUCCCAGCUACUUGGGAGGCUGAGGCAGGAUAAUCGCUUGAACCUGGGAGGCAGAGGUUGCAGUGAGCCAAGAUCAUGCCACUGUACUCCAGCCUGGGUGACAGAGCAAGACUCUGUCUCAAAAACAAAACAAAACAAAAAAAUUAUAGAUGCAAAGUAUUACACCAGAUAAAGCUAAAUAGUAUUUACGUUUUAAAAUAAUUUUAUGGAAUGAAUUUUUCCCCAGCAAAGGUAGCCUGACCAAAAUCAGCACAAGUUUUCUUUCCUCACUCCAUCUCCUAUGAACUUUUCUCAUUGAAAUUUGAGAACUAAUCUCCAUGACUAUCAAAUCCUGUGAUUCUCUGCUAAGACAGCUUAACUGUCAGGACAAUCUUGAAAGCUGUUAUUUUCUUGUUGAUCAAAAUUUCCCUAAGUUUCAAACCCUUUAGGGUAGAAAAUAAAUACUCUCCAACCUAAUAGACUUUCAGCGACCAGUCAACUGGGACCACAUUUGUCCUCUCAGUGGGAAUUCCUACCCAAGUUAACAAGAUUUGGGUAAAUAAGGAAGGUGGCUGCCAGUGAGAGGGUGAAACGCCAGGAGAUCAGAGGAUUAAAGCCGACUGCAACAGGGUGAUAGCAAGGGGCUCAUUUCUCUGAUUCUCCACAAUUGUUCAAUCUUUCGAAGGUAAUUUAUAGAGAUGACUAUUACCCAUUCAAAGGUAGAUGUUAAGCAAAAAAUAGACCAGGAGCCAAAGUAAAAUGUCACAGUUAACUCUUUGAGUCAAAACGUACUCCCAAACAACACCAUCACAAAUAUACUUUUUGUACACUUUCUUCAAGAUCCAUCUAUCGAAGGCAAAUUAAAAUUGUUGUGACCUAGGACGACCCACUCAACAGGAAGGAGUAUUCUGCCCUCCUAAGUUAAUGCUAAAUGCCUUUGCUGAUUUGAUUCACCCCAUCAUUUUAACACACAAGGCUUCUUCUAAUUAAGGCCUUGCCUCUAGUUUGCAGAGAGACAUGACUUCUGUGGGUCAUCCUCAUGGUAUCAACAGUAGACAGUGGUCGCCUCGUGGGAUCAAGUGUCAGGUGAAUGGUCCUGAAGACCAAGGUCCCAUUUGUAUGCAAAUUCACCUUAAUAAGCAGGAUGGAGACAAGGGAAGGGCAAAUGCUAAACAUAUUAGAAAGUUACAUAAAUUAGAAAUGAAAAAAUAUCCCAGGCAAGCUCUAGAUAAGACCUUGAUUUGGGGAAGAUCUUUCCAACAUGACAUGUAACUCAGCUCAGGCUUGGGCACUGGGUCCAGGCUGGCUGUAAAUCACUUCAGUGAGAAGUGAGAAGGCCGAGGCAGAAGUAAAAUUGCUUCUGAAUAGCAGCACUUUCCUCUGCCUUCCCCCAGGAGGUAGGCGGUAUGGCAAAGCCAACGACACAGCCAUGUCACAGAGCUCCCCAGCUUGUAAUAUUAAUCCUGGCUCAAAAAACCCAACUAAACAGGCCCACUCUUUAUAAAAUCGCUUUGAAAAAAUUUGUUUGCUCCCAUUUCCAUUUGUGAGAUGAAAUCUGCCCAGCUGCUGUUUGUUCAGGGUGGGGUGGGGUAUGUUCUCUUUUUGUUUAAACCACAGGGCUUCAAAAACUCUUCCCUUGAAGCACCCCUAGUAGUAGAGAAUAGUAAAUAUGUCACCCUCAGGGGUCGGUUUUCUGUUUGGUCAUAAAAAUGCAUGGAAAUGUAUAUCCCAUUCCUCUAUAUCCAUUAGCAUUAAUUUUGAAAAGUUUAAAAAUUACCACCAGGGAAAAAGGAAUCUGAUUAUCCAUUUGUUUUAUGAUCUGUACCUGCCACCACUACAUACUGCAUUGGAGAAACAACAACAAAAAAUAUGAUGCAGAUAUAAACUGGGUAGCAACAAUUUAGACAGAGUUGUGGGGGGCGGAGUGCAACAGCCUGAAUUCAAGAAUGCAAUGAAGCCUUCUUGCUGCUGUUUUCAAUUUCAGCGCUUCUGACUUCUGAAAAGAGAGACCCCUCGGCCAGGCACAGUGGCUCACGCCUGUAAUCCCAGGAGGCGGGCGGAUCAUGAGGUCAAGAGAUGGAGACCAUCCUGGCCAACAUGGUGAAAACCCCAUCUCUACUAAAAAUACAGAAAUUAGCUGGGCAUGGUGGUGUGUGCCUGUAGUCCCAGCUACUUGGGAGGCUGAGGCAGGAGAAUCACUUGAACCCGGGAGGUGGAGGUUGCAGUGAGCCGAGAUUGCACCACUGCACUCCAGUCUAGCGACAGAGUGAGACUCCAUCUUAAAAAAAAAAAAAAAAAAGAAAGAAAAGAGAGGCCCCUUUUUAGAGAACCUCACAGACGGAUUAAAUGUGCUUUCCCUGCCAGUGAUGGGCUUUAGAAAUGGCUGAAAUGCUACCUGCCCAUACAGUGUGAGACGCUGCAGCCUCUAGGGGCAGCCAAACCACCUCCAGCAGCAGCCCCCAACCCCCACCCCGCCAACCUGAUAGAUGGUGAUGCCAUUUGUAGGGCCUCAGUGCUAGCUCUGCUUCUCACCAGCCCUCUGCACCUCUCUCGCUUACCCCUUUAAGAGCUGUCACGCAAUAGCCAUUAGCAGCAUGCAGUGUGGAUCUGCUUCACCAGAGGGUAAUGCCACACAGGACUGCCCUGAACAUGAUUUUUUCUACCCUUGCCUUUCCAUGUGAGCUUCUUUUACUACCAAAAAAAUCUUAAAAAAUAUUCAGGCUAUAUACCAGGAAUGCUUGUCUACUUCUAAAAUAUAGCCACCACAGAGGAUGAAAACAAAAGCCAUGCUACAGCUCUUUAAAAUAACCUCCAUUGGAAACCCAGAUUAUAAGUGGAUUUGUUCAGAAACACGUAGUUACCAUCAAAAUGGCACCCGGCAAGAAACUUCUUGAUCAAAUUCAGCUCCUCCUAAGUUGGCUAUGAAUAGCUAAGGUUUCCAUUUUAUGUAUCUCUUACAAAGGGCAAUUGCAUAACACCACAAAGCUAUGUGAAGAUUCAGGCUCAGGACCCAGUGAGAGAAGGAGACAGGUCCUAAAUUGCUAUCACUUCCUAUUUUGCUGGGGAGAGCUCUAAUCUGAAUACUUGCCCCAGUUUAUGUUGUAAUUCAGAUAAGAUAAUGUCUUGAAAUUUUUUAAAAAGAGAGGGAAACAUUGCUUUUUACAAGAAUUGCUUGUCACAUAUUUGUCAGGACAUCAGCAACAAAAUUAAUUAAUUAGUUCAUUAAUUUAGAGACAAAGUUUUCCUCUGUUGACCAGGCUGAUGUGCAGUGGUGUGAUCAUAGCUCACUGCCGCUUUGAACUCUUUAGCUCACAGGAUUCUCCCACUUCAGCCUCCUGAGUAGCUGGGACCACAGAUGUGUGUCAUCACAUCCGGCUAAUUUUUUUUUUUUUUUUUGGUAGAGAUCGGGGUCUCACUAUGUUGCCCAGGCUGGUCUCGAACUCCUGGGCUCAAGUGAUCCACCUGCCUCAGCUUCCUGGAGUUCUGGGAUUAGAGGCAUGAGCCACCGUGGUCCAGCCAACAAAUAAUUUUUAUUAGUGUAUCUUGUAUACGAAAUGAAGUAAGAGAAUAGUGAGAGUAGUUUACACUUUAGGACUUUGGCUGCUGCUACUACUGAGAGGAGCUUAGUGAAAAUGUAAAAUUAUACCAGCUACUCAACAUCACACAAUGCAGAGACAGAAUCCACAGCCUUGUUGUUCGACAGGUAAAGCCCCUCUCGGAGACAGUAGAGGAGAGUGCCGCCUCCCCCAGUCGAAUUGACAAGGUCAGCUUAAUCACUUUUCAGAAGUAGGAAACCUUAUACUGCCAGGAAAAAUGAUUACAGUUAAGCCUCACUGUACACAAUAGGUAUAUUCUUGAAAAGUUAUAAUGAAUAGAGUAUUUGUAAAUGGAAUCAUAUUAGCAUGUAUUAUGGAGGCUCACUCUAUAAAGGAACCCUGUGGUGAAUCGCUUUAUAAAAUGAAAGGAAAAUUUGUUAUGCAAAUAACUACCUUUUAAUUUAUCUGUUUUAAAGUCAGGGUUUUCAUGCAUUGAGUCUUAAAACAGAGCACACCUGCCUAUCCCCUCCAGCUCUGCACACUGUGGGCCAAAUAAACAUUUGUUUCCCCUCCUCUGAACUCCUCAAGCACUUAACAAAACAAACAGACAAAAAAAAAAAACACCUCUCCUGUUGAUAUAGAACAUUUCACCUUGGAGUACAGAUGUGGAAUUGUCAGACCUUUUCUGUGCAGAGCCAGAGAGUAAAUAUUUUGGCUUUGUUGGCCAUCUAGUCUCUGUCACAAUGACUCGCCGUGUUUUUGUAGCCAGGAAGGUGGCCUUAGAUGAUGGUAAAUGAAUGGGCAUAGCAGGGUUCCCAUAAAACUUUAUUUGUGGACCCUGAGAUUUGAAUUUCAUAGCAUUUUUACAUGACAGGAAGUA
Molecule: long non-coding RNA, 47064 nt
Filed under: Homo sapiens (human)
Lineage: Eukaryota; Metazoa; Chordata; Mammalia; Primates; Hominidae
Description: non-protein coding lnc-ENTHD1-3:1
Source: RNAcentral